This 56875-nucleotide long non-coding RNA is filed under the name Hordeum vulgare. RNAcentral describes it as "long non-coding RNA (HVUL_LNC011207)". The record is from RNAcentral. Lineage: Eukaryota; Viridiplantae; Streptophyta; Magnoliopsida; Poales; Poaceae.
CCCACACUCACCUCCUCCUCAGCAGCGACCACCGGGAUAGGGGAAGCAGGGAGAGUGAUCUCCAUGCCUACCACCACCACCGGCGCCAAAGUACCCACCGUGGAGCCUCCUGCGAGCCCCGACUGGCCAACACCCGAGGGGGCGGGGGUGCGCCGACCGCCAGAUGGCUCGGGCGGAGCCCCGACCGUAUCAUCGUCCCCCUCAGAAGAAGGCCCCUCCUCCGACGAGCCCCCCUCCUUGUCAAGACCCCCGUCGGCAGGCUCCAGCCCAGGCGGGACCGGAUCUAGCUGAGCCGCUGAAGCCGGGGACUCGAGCUCGAAGGUCAGACGCCUGCCCUUGGACCCAAAGUAGAAGACCAAAGACAACCCGUCAAUCUCAGCAGGAGCCGGGCAGAGAAUCUCAAUGCGGGCAGGGCCAUCAUCCUCGAAAGAUGCCAGGUCGGCGGUGAUCAGUUUGCCCAUGGGUUUAGAGAUGGCUUUCAGAAUAUGACUGAGCUUGCCACCCCGCGGAGCCGCACUGCCCCCCCUUGGGAGGCCAUAGACGAGGACCCAAACCUUCUCCAAGGGAGGGACGGGGUCAGGCUCUGACAUGGCCGCCUGGACGCUGAUCGGGAGCUGGUUGAGGGGACACCGGAUAGGACCAUGCGAGCAGACCCGGAGUAGCUCGGCCGAGGGGAAGGGGACCGAGAAGACCAGGGGAGCCGUCUCAGUCACCUCCCAUGCGAACUCAGAGCCGCGAAAGUCGCCAAUGUAGGCCGCAAGCUCAUCCUGGAUGAGGUCAGACGAGAUCACCAGGCCAUCCGGGAUAGGCUGCUCGGGCUCCAAGGUGACCGUCGCUAGGUGAGGACGAGCAGCUACCUCCUCAAUCUCCGCAUCCACGAAGUAGAAGCUUCCCCGCUCAGUGCCAUACCCAAGAUAGGCAAGAAUCGUGGGGCACCGUGGGGGAGCCUCACACUCCGAGCGGUAGUGCCCGGUGCACCCGCAGUUGAUGCACAUCGUGUCCUCGCGGGAGCGCUGGCGGGUAGCACGAGCAGGGGGUCUAGAGCCUCAUGCUCAGGAGCCCCCUGAGCUCCUGGCGACGUCAGGCCGCCAGCACCGCCAACAGCCUUCUUCUUCUUCGACUUCAUCUUCUUCUUAACCGGGGUCGGGCGGGAAGCGGAGCAGCAGGCAGGGCAUCUGGGGACACGUGCCUAGAAGGCCCGUCGUCCCGGCACCAGUCCGCACCCGUCGCCCGAGAGGAGCGCCAGUCAGCCCGACGUCCAUCAUCACCGCGCCGCAUUGGCGGCCCGCCCCACCGCUCCCCCGGGCGGUGGUCCUGGCGAUCACGGGGCGGCCCGCCCCACCGCUCCCCAGGAAGGCGCCGCGGGGCGGUGAGCGAGGUCCCGAGCCGGGGGGUAGCGGGGCGCUGGCUCCUCACACGGCUGAGAUGCCGGAGUGGGGCGAGCAACCAACUCUGCACACAGAGUCGCUUCCCGGUCCAGGUCGGCCGCGCGGGCGGCCUCCAGGCGGCGACGGUCCCCCGGCGAACCCGGCAACGGCAGGCGGGGAUCCCUCUCCGGAUCACGAGGGGGAGGCGGACGGCGAAGGGAGGUCCCGGAGUAGUACUCCGGGGACUUCCCCGGCCGGGCAGACCCACCGCGCCCGGAACGGGACGAGGCAGCACCCCCUUCCAUGGCACGGUCACGGGCGGCGGGCAGCGCCUUCAACACCGCGCGAGCCUGGUCACGAGAGGUUGGCGUAGGGAGGAGCCCCUGCCCAGCCGGGAGAGGCCGCUUCGGUCGGGCCUGGCCGUUCCCGGCGUGGCGUGUCAUGAGCACGUCCCGGUAGGAGCGCCGUGGGGAGGGGAUGGGGAGCAGGUCCGGGCGCCGGGCAGCAGACGAGGGCGCGUCGCCGGCAGUGCAGGCGAGGACGGACGAGGUGGAGGGAGCUCUAUGGCUGACGGGACGGGGCGAGCGGGGCCUGGGGAACGGCCGGCGGGACGGGGCGAGCAGGGCCUGGGGAACGGCGGGGACGUCCGCGCCCGACGGGAGAGAGCGAGAGGAAAGGGAGCGGGAGCCCGACCGGAGAGAGCGAGAGAAACGGGAGCGGGACGGGGCGAGGCUGCGAGGUGGCGGUGGCGCACGCUCGGCAGGGUAAACCCUAUCCCCGAGCCGGUCCUCCCGACGCAGGCCUGGGCCGGGACGCGAGCAUGGGGGAGGCCCAGGUGGGCAUCGGCCCACUGCCGGUUAACCUUCUCCAGGACUCGGGAGACGCGGCGGGAGGCCCAGGCCAUCUCGCUAGCUGAGAUGGGCCCAGGCCCCGUUCGCAGCGGCCCAUGGGGAGAGCCGGCCCAUCCGUCCGCCAGCCGGCCAGGGGAGUUAGGGCAUGGGGGAGGGGACUGACGAGGCACUCGGGCACCUCCCGCUGCCGCCGGCACCGCCGCCGCCGCCACAGGAGGCAGGGCACCAGCGCCUGGUCGGGGCUCGCGGGGGCCCUCUCCGGCGACCGCCAUGGGGGACAACCCAGGCAGCAAACCGGCUCGGGCCAAGGAGGGGAGAGGGGGAACCACAGGGGGACAGUGCACCGGCGACCGCCGCCCGACCUCCUUCCCCGGCCGCCGGCGGGCAGGGCGCGCCGCAGCCAGGAACGAGCCGAGCAGCGGCGGUGCCAGGGACACCGGCAGCUCCAACCGGUCAUCACCAUCCGAAGAGGCCUCCAUGUCAUCGGGGUCGGGAUCGUCCGUCCAGUCCGCCCAACGUCGCGGCGACCGUUGGAAGCAGAGGGAGGGCGCCCCCGGCGGGGGAAGCGGGGGCAUCGCGCUCACGCAGCACGCCGGCCGACCGCCGUCAGCGGGCACCGCGCAGCUUCAGGUCUCGGCCCGCCGGAGAGGAGCCGCCCAUCGCUUCUUCUCUUCAGGAAUCUAGUCGCCGGCCCACAAGUGGGGUGAUGAACAAGCUAAUGCGAUUUAAAGUAAUCAUACCUCGUCCUAAGAAAUUAAAAGUGAAUUCAUACUGUGCAGCUAGAAAAAGAAUCAUAAAAGUAUACAAGCGCAUGUGAAAAGAAAAAGAUGAACAACUUGCCACUUCAUAUAGGUGAUCUAAUUAACUAAUUUAGGGUUCGAAUAACUUUGUUUCCCCACAAUCAUGACAAAGUGAACCUUUUGUUGAAAGCCGGAAUUCUGCAAUAAAGCUGCAAUGGUAGAUCUAUUUUUAUCAGGGAAUCUACCAUGCUGAGCUGCUGCACACAAGGCGUUCUCACUCACGAGUCGCAAAAAAGAGUUGGUGAGUUAUUAAAAAAGAAGACAAAGAGGACGAGUGAGUUGCACCAAAAUUAAAUACUUCCUUCAUUUCAAAAUAAAUGUCUCAAUUUUAUACUACCUCUAGUAUAAGAGCAUGGUUAAUAGUAUAGUCAACUGCUGGCUAUAAGCUAUCUUAUAGCCUAUCUUAUAGCUAGCUUGUACAAUAGUUAGCUAUAAAAGAGUACUACUUUUAUUCUAUAUGGCCCACCUUUCAUUUUCACAAAGCACCUACGAGCACGUGCUAGAGCUGGCUCUUUACGAAGAGCCCGCUUCCCUUCUCACUCCUAUUCUCUCUCAUCCAACUCAGCAAAAAUACAGUAUUUUAAUCCUUACAGCCUGCUGACUGUACCUUAUUGUACUUGCUCUAAAGUUGUACUCCCUCCGUUCCAAAAUAUAAGACCUUUUAGAGAUUUAUUAGAAGACUACAUACGAAGCAAAAUGAGUGAAUCUAUACUCUAAAAUAUGUCUAUGUACAUCCGUAUGUAGUUCAUAGUGCAAUCUUUAAAAUGUCUUAUAUUUAGGAACGGAGGGAGUAUUAAGUUUGAGGCGGUUAUAUUGAGACGGAGAGAGUACUAGAUAUACGUAAUCUGAAAUAGUGGAGUACCAAAAUUAUAGGCCUCUAUGAUUAGGAGGAUUUUCAUAAAACAUUUGGAAAGUUGUGAUACUUGAGAAUUUUUCCUUUAUCGCUUAUCUGAUUCGUAGAUUGACUCCUAUAGGAUUUUCUCCUAUGGAUUCCCUUUGACUGCACAUUUCAUGAAAAAAAACAUUAGUUUGCCAUGAUAAUUUUUCACCAGGAUGCACAAAAAAUGAACUAGUUCUGAAAGGUUUAUUGGCUUCAUUUGGAUUUACUUAGAAUCAGCUCAUAUUAGCAAUAAUUAAAGAUGGCCGAACGAUGGCGCCGUCUCCCUCCCGACCCGGGGCCGCAUGCAGCCCCUCUCCCUCUGCCCCCCUCCUCCUGUCGGUGCCCUCGGAUCUGGUCCGGGUGGUGUUGGCGGUGGCGGGAUCUCCAUUACCUGUGCGCGGACGUCCUUCCCGAGGCAGGGGAUCGACGGUGGUGCGGCUCGGCCUGCUGUGGUCCGACGACCUAGAGGUGGUGGCCGGCAGCCGACGUGGUGGUGGCGCUGCUCCUUGGCGGCGGGGUGGCCUAGCGGCACGGGGUGGCCGGCUGCACGACCCCGGGCCAGAUCAGGGCCCAUAAGGCCUCAUCUAGGUCCUAGGGGACUGGCUCUGGCAUGGACUUGCUGCCUCCUGUACAGGGAUGAGGAGGGGCGGGUUGAAAGGGGGGCCGCGAUGCCGACGGUGUGCUUUCUGCAGCGCGAUGGCAGGAGCUUUAUGGGUAUUUGUGGGGCCAUGAGCCUGGUUUGCUCCUGCCGAUGUGUCCGGUCGGUUACUGUCGUUGACGAUGGAAGUCGGACCCUCCCGCAGGCCGCCGGUGUUGCUUCCCCUAGUCCCGACUCUUCUUCUUCGAUGUGCAGGCCUCACUUCUCGGUGUCCUGGUGAGACAGUGUGGGUCGCUUCAAGAUUGUGCUUGCGCAGGGCGGUGGGUGGUAUGGUGGAGUCCUCCGGAACGCCCGUGGUGAUGCGUGGGGAUCGGGACGUACAAAUCCUUGUCGGCCUGUUCGACACCGACACGGUGACGCCUGAGGGUGUCGACGGACCUUCCUGGAGGGUGUCGGGUGCUACCCUUUCUUUGUCCUCGUUGUGUAUCGGGGGAAACCCUUGGCAGCAGCGCAGUCAUCGUCGUGUCCCUUCUUGGAGGUGUUGAUUGGUAUCGGCGCUUCGAAGGCUAGGAUCUUGGUGGAAGAUCUUCGAUGGGCGCAACGAUCGCGGGGCCUCUUCAUUUUUGUCGAUCCAUCAUUGUUGGCAUCUAUUCCUUUUGCAUUUUCUUUUUCCCUUCCUUUUGGACGUGAUUGUGAUGUCUCCGUCCCAGCACUUAUUGAUGGAUAUAUCGGGCAUUUGCUAUAUUAAUAUAGCGAGGCGAACGCGUGCUUCGAAGAAAGAUGGACGAACUUACCAACCAUAUUACUUGUGCUUAUUUAUUUUCUUCUGUUACAACGCACAAACAUAUUUGCUAUUUGAACUAAAUCACAUUGCCAAUUGCUCGUCUAUCAUGUCAAAUCAGAACCACGCAUCUAACCCUCCCAAGAUGUAGAUCGAUCGGUUUUACUCGGCAUUCAUUAUGGAUCGGAGGGAGUACUCCUAGAUCAUAUUCAAAAUUGCUCCACGCCACAAAUAAAACUGCACGGUACAUAUGGUAAAUCUGGGAAAGUGAUUUGCGUGGUAUGUGUGCCAUAAUCAACUGAAUUAUUGGACUAACCGCAUCAAGAUCGGAUCACAUCGAUCCUAUCCCCGUCGACGAGACUGUCCUCGAAUCAAAAUAUUUCUCCAAUGGACGCUCGUGUCCCACGCUCUGAAAGCGACGCCUUUUGUUUUGUCAGUUAAUUUUCACGUCAAGCUCACACCCACGCACGCACCGUGUAGGAUCCACGGCUCGACGCACCUCCCCUUCCCUCCCCUUCUCCCUAUUUAACGAGCUAGCCACCCCCACGCUUUUUGCACCUCAGCAAGCACCAACACACACACACACACAAGAAAUGGCGAUGGCUAGGACGACGACGCUCCUCCUCGUCGCCGCAGCUCUCCUCGCGGCCUCAUGCAGCGCAUGGGAGGUCAACAUCCGCAUGCCGACGUCGGCGGCGGACGUGGACGAGGCGGUGGUGGCGCCGCUGAUCCACGCGCUGCGGCCGCUGCUGGGCUCCGGCAAGCACGCCGGAGUGGCGUGCGACAGCUGGGUGCUGGGGGUGGAGGCGCACAACGUGCGGGACUGGAAGACGGUGCCCGCGAGCUGCGAGGGCUACGUCGGGCACUACAUGCUCGGCAGCCAUUUCCGCCGCGACUCCAAGGUCGUCAUCGACCAGGCCCUCGCCUACGUCGACUCCCUCAAGCUCGCCGGCAACGGCAAGGAGGUCUGGGUCUUCGACAUCGACGAGACCACCCUCUCCAACCUCCCCUACUACGCCAAGCACGGCUUCGGGUACGUACUUACACUCUUGUAUACAUUACAUAGACACUACUGAUUCUACGUGUAGUGCAUGCAUUAGACUUGCUAUUUACUGCAGGUACAUCCGACCGAGCAGGGACUUGCACUCAUCUUUUCACUAAGAUGAAGUGUAAAUAAUCUGACUAGAUAUAUAUUGUAAAAAAUCAACUCACUAGCUAGCUAAAAAAUACCAGCGAGAUCUGUAAUGAAUGAAAAUUGGAAAGCACAUAAGGAUAGAAAUAUUGGAAAUAAAAAGGAAUAUAAUCACUAAGUAGAAAAGUACUUUAAUCACAAGUGUUGGACACUUGGACAUCAUCAUUGCCAGUAGGACUCGGGCCAUAUGUCCCUAGUAUGAAUGGCCAACAAAACAAGAAGGAAACAUACUAUAUUUUGAGAUAGAGAUGUGAUGUUGAUGGGCAUGCGAAUGUGGUGGCCGGGUAGGACCGUAUAUGUUGUCCACUUGGCUACUUUAUGGAAAUGUUCUAAUUAUGUUAUGCUAGUCAACUCAUACUUUCUAAUUAUGUCAUACUUUUGUACACAUACACACUAUUGUAGUGCAUUAUACUCCCUCUCUAUCUAAAUACUUAGAGUUCGAAAGAACUAGGUGCAUUUCAGCAGGGGCUUGCACUGAUCUAUUCGUUCAGAUAAAAUAAAUAUCUUACUAGACCUCGUUCAAAUGAACUCACUAGCUAGAAAGCACUAGUAUCAUAAGAUUUCUAAUGAAUGAAAGUGGGAAAACAAAUGAGACUAGAAGUGGAAACAAGGAAUAUACUCACUAGCUAGAAAAGUAUUAAUUGGACGUGUUGGACACACUUAGGCAGCAUCAUUGCUGGUUACCUCAAAUCAGUCACAGAGACGGCCAUCAGGACCAUAAAUAUGUCCCGCCUAUGAAUGGUCAACAAAACAAGAAGGAAACAUAGUACUAUAGUUUGAGAAUAUGGUGGCCGGGGUAGGACCGUAUAUGUUCUCCACUUGGCUACUUUAUGGAAACGUUUAUUUCCAGCUGUCCUUAUCAGCCGAUACGUUCUAAUUAUGUUAUGCUAAUCGAUUGAUAUUUUCUGAUUAUGUUAUGCUAAACUUAGUUCAGAUGGAUAGUACUCCGAUACGUUUUCAUUAUUUUAUGCUAAUCUGAGUUUAGAUGGAUAUAAUUACUUAUUUUAGAAGAUGUGAGAGGUCAGAACAUCUUGUGCAUAGUUAGUAGUUACAUGCUACUCCCUCCGUUCCUAAAUACAAAUCUUUUAAAAGAUUUCACUAGUGGUCUACAUAUGAAGCAAAAUGAAUGAAUUUAUACUAUAAAAUAUGUUUAUAUACAUUCAUAUGUAUUACUCUAACCUCUAAAAAGAUUUAUAUUUAAGAAUGGAUGGAGUACAACUCUAUUCCUCUUUUCUCAAAUAGUUGAACACUAUUCCUCUUAGUUAAGAAGAUUCUCUUGAACCAAGAUGGAAACUAACUUGAAAUGUAGUAGAAGUCUAGGUGAUAUCUAGCCAACAUGAUGAUACCAGUUUAGUUCAAAACAUGAUUAACUAGCUCCGGAUAGCUUGCUUGUGUAUAUUUUGAAUGUGAUGAGGGAGCUAGUUCGUUGUGAUUUAAAAUAAACUGUACCUUGCCGUAAGAACUUUAAAGUGGAUCUACACUGGGCGGCUGGAAAAAGAUACAUAAAAGUAUAUAUAUGCGCAUCAAGGAAAAAAGAAAGAUCAAAAGCUUAUAACAGCAUGUCUAACUAAUCGAGCGGUUCAAAUAACUUUGUUUCAUCACAAUCAUGACAAAAUUAACCUUUUUUGUUGAAAGUCGGAACUCUGCAAUAAGGUUGCAAUGGUAGACCUAUUUUACCAAAGGAAUCAACAAAGCUGAGCUGCUGCGUACAAAGCUGUGCACGAUGAGAUUAAAUACUACAACUGCGUUUUCGGUCCAACAAAACAGUAGCGUGAUGAUGCCGGAGUGAACCUCGCUAUGUCACAUUCAUUGAUUUACUCCACUUGACCAACUUAAUUUACGACGUCCACAACUACGUACUGCUCAUGCACGUGCGUUACGUACAGAUACAGAGCAUCAUUGCGUUUACGUAUUGCCCAUCCCCUUGGCCAUUUGGCCACUUGGGCCAUAAUCUAGGUUGCCUAUGUUCCUUGGAUAUGCAUAAUUACUACUACUUCUUAGUAGCUGAUAUGAUUGAAUCUGCCAUUAAUCUAUCCUCGUAUACAUGUGCGUGCAGGGCUACACCGUUCAACGCGACCAGCUUCAACGCAUACGUGCUACAGGGGAGCGCGCCAGCCCUGCCGGAGACGAAGCGGCUGUACAACAAGCUGCGCUCGAUCGGCGUCAAGCCGGUGUUCCUCACCGGCCGGACUGAGGACCAGAGGGCCAUCACCGUCACCAACCUCCGCCGCCAGGGGAUCUCUGGGUGGAUGAACCUCUUGCUGAAGCAACCCGGGUUCAAGGGCUCUGCGGUGACCUACAAGUCCGGCGAGAGGCAGAAGCUGCAGGACGCCGGGUAUGUCAUCGUCGGUAACAUCGGCGACCAGUGGAGCGACAUCCUCGGCGCGCCAGAGGGUGCCCGCACCUUCAAGCUGCCCGACCCCAUGUACUACAUCGGCUAGGCCGCCUCUGGCUCGGCCGGGCAUGCUGCCAUUGAUUUCUCGAAUAAGCUCCAUGCUCUUAGUUAUAUGCAUGUUUCGUCAGAUAAUCAAUCCCCAAUUGUUGCUUGGUUCAUUUCCAUUGUUGAGAGCUUGAGAUCAAUUGCUACUAUGAAUUAGACGUGUAAGUGGAGAUGUUGCAUGCUGCUUAAUCAAUGGAUCUUUGUUAUGUUGUUUUUCUUUUUGCUCUAUUACAAGGAAUCCAUGGGCAUUAUUACUAUUUGAUAUCUUGUUCUUAAGUCUUAACUUGGAACUUAUAUUGCUGGUGGUAGAUUUUUCUGUACUAAAUUCUGCAUAUGGUGUAUUAAAUAUCAGGGACACAUAAUAUUGUCACACAUAUGGAAUCACUACUGCUAAAAUGACCAGUUCCUGAACCCAUCUGCUAUUGGGCCCAUUUUGGCCCGUCGGAGGAAGGGAUCAUCGUCGGUGGACAGGCAAAGAAGUGCUCGCAUAGACUCCUUCAAAAAAUGUGCCCUCAUAGACGACGGGUAUUUUCCACUGAUGUUGCGCAACUGGUGAUUGCAAUGUAGUUUGUGUCUUGCAUGUUGUAUGCAUAUGUAAUGAAUGUAACAUCUAAUAGUUAAUUAUGCAAGACAAAUAAAGCCCACCCUUUUCAGUAAGUUUAGAGCUAGAUUUGAGUUUGUCUUGGUCUCAUUUUUCUAAACAUACAAUCCUGGAGACAACUCGGUGAAGAAAUGAUGGUCCAAAUAGGUGUCUAACACGAAUCGUCAUCAAAGAAACCCUAUGGGAACCCACACUAUUCUAGUUACUUGGAUGAUUUGUAAUGAAAGAAAUAUAUGUGUCUUCCAAGUUAUUUUGACCAUGCCAAACAACAUCCCUGCUAAGAUAAAAAACGAUGUGGAGACUUGGAUAAAGGCCGGGCGAAGGAUCUGGGAAACAUUAUGCCAGGAGAGUAGUUCCGUUCUAUUAAUUUAUCCUUGGAUGACGUUUCGCGGAGAGAGGGGAGAGGGCGACCUGGGCGAUCUGGGAGCGUCGGGGGCCGCCGUGGGCAUCGUCGGAGAGGGGGAACAUCGGUACUCCUCCUCCGAUCUCGCAUCCCAGGCGCGGCGCCGGAGCCCGAUCUCGGCGGUGGAGGGACCUACUGUCCGUGUCCGAUGGAGAGUUGCGUACUCAGAGGCUGGUUAUUCGGAUCUGCGUGAGGGGCAGAUUGUUUUUCAUUCGGUUUCUCGUUGGAUGACACUACGGGAUGACGACGACGACAUCCUCGCCGGCUGCCAUCUCCAAGAGGAAGAUCUCAUCUGCGAAGGUGCGCAUUUCAUGGUGGAUAUCUUUUCUGUUACUUGUAUUUCUCCUUUCCUGCAGGUGAAUUCACAAGAACGGAUGCAGCCUGAUUUGGUGGACAUAUCUGACGAUGAUAAGAUCGCCUCACCAAGACUUCUCCCUCGAGUUGGGGGGAGGUUUUGGGUACUGGCUAAAGAUGAAGACGACGAGAACCACGACAUUGCCGUAGCACAGGAGGUCUCUGCUCCUUUCUGCGACCAGGUUUUCCAUCCGGCCACGAGGGAUUUUAUUCAUGCAUUGCCUGAUUCGAAGGUCGUUAAGGUAGUUCAACGCAAGGAGCGAUUGGCGAUUAAACCUUGGAGCGGUCCUCUGCCUAAGGUUCAUCUCGAACCAUUGCGGAUCUCGGACAUCAUACCUUGAGAGGCUUGGACUACUGUUUUGCCUAAGAGGAAGAACAAGGGUAAGAGCCGUAAAUUGCAGACGUCAGUCCCUGACAAGGUGCUGUCGUCCCGUGAUUCUCGCGAAUUACGUUUGAACGAGCCGAUGGCUGUUGUCGGGCCGUUGGGACCGGCGCUCGAGUUGGGCUUAAAAGAAACUGGGUAUAUGGCCCAGAUAGACUCCAAUCUAGCAAAACCUGCAAGUCCUACACCUACGGCUGCCCAGAUUUGCCUUGACGAGAAUCAUCAGGACUUGGUUUCUACGUCAAGUUUGCAUAUACCGAGUUCGGCUCUGCCUAGGGUUCCACGACGGCGUUUGCCUGGCUUCCCUUCGCUCGGGCCGGGUCGUGCAGUACGGGUUCCAGCGCUGCGGUGCAUGGCGGGGCGGGGAAACAAGCAGGCGCUGCCUCCCCCUCGACCACCGGCGGUUUCCCAGGCUGUGGGGCGGACUAGGCAGCAGCCCGUGAUGCCGCCAGGGCGCCAGACGGGCCAGGCUUCGGCUGCACCGGUUCCCGCUGCUGGUCAGGGUUUGCCCAACGCGGCUCGGGCGGAUACUAACAGGAUGCAGCCGAGAGGUCGAUGGGGGGAUGAUGGUGUUAAUGCAUAUGGUGAUGGACAGCACCGUGGAUCCUCUUCGUCUGGAGGAGGACGUGGCUAUGCCUGGCAGAGCAAUGGCAGCGCUGCUAAUGGGUUCGCCGGUCCUCCGGGACAGUUUGUGCCCCGGGUCUCGGGUCCUACUCACCCUAGGGAGGUGGAUAUAAGCAACAUUGGGGAGGGAGAGGUGGUGGCAGGAGAUUGAAGCCGCCCACGCCUCCAGUAGAGGUAGAUGCUGCCAAGACAACGGCGGGAGUACCUUCCAAUGCUCCUAAGGGGAAUACACUGCUGCCACCUGUUUCCGAGGAGGAUCCUUCCUUGGCUGACAAGGGAGUAUCGCUUGCGAAGGCAGAGGGGGGGGGAUAGGCCCUCCAAGUGGGCACGCAAAAAAGAAAAGAUGACAUGCUACCGUUGCAGUGAGACGGGUCAUUUUGUUUCCGAAUGCAGCGCGGAUCUGUGUGACUUUUGCUUAAAGCCUAAGCAUGGCUCAGCUAAGUGCCCCCUUACUGUUGGUCCUAUACAUGUCGUCACUUUAUAUGGGGUUUGCUGCCAAGAGUUGAUGUUCUUUGAAUCUCCCUCUGCUUCAACGUCGUUGCAUGUGCCAGACGCGGCCUAUACGGGGACGGUUACGGUGGCUCGUGGUAAUAUGUCAGCUGAGCAGGUGGUGCAACAGUUGAGGGAUCUUGUUUCAUCAAUGUUUCGGUGGGAACUGGUCCUUAUAGCAGAUAAUGUGUUCAAGGUUGUGUUCCCUACCAAGGAGGACCUAGCUAGACUGCUCAAGUUUGGUAUGUGUCGGGUUCCUAGUACUAGUUGUGUGCUAGAGUUCGAUGCUUGGAAGAAUGAGGAGCCAUAAGGUGUGCCACUUCCUCAGAUUUGGGUUCGUUUUUCAGGGGCCCCGUCAAAGGCUCUAAAUGACUUUCUGGUGACUUGGAGUUUGGGAUCUUUGAUAGGUAAGACUGAGAGGGUGGAUAUGCAAUAUACUCGGGCUAAAGGUGUUGCCAGGAUGAGGGUUAGUGUAAUUGAUAUUGCGCUAGUACCGGAUGAAGUUAUAUGGACUUAUGAUGGAAUGCGGUACACCUUGCAACUCGAGAUCGAGAGUCCGGAUAUGUUCGAGGAGGAUGGGACAGACAAAGAUACCGAUAUGGCUGACGGAGAUGAUGCUUCGGGUUCUAGGGAAUCUGAUAAGAAGGAUCAACAGCCAGUUAUUACAAAGAUGGUGGAUCAACCUACCUCAGGUUCUGCUACAGGGGCUGCUCAACCAGUGUCUCUUCCCUCGACGCAGCUUAGGUUCGGUUCCUUUGAACCAGCCUCGGCGCCAGAGAUUCGAGGGAGGGCUUCAGAGAAGUAUGAGCGGGAUCUGGUUCAUCUUAAGCCGCAAGGAAAGCAAGCAAAGUCAGGGUCAUUCAGUAUUAAAAAUCCUAAGGAAGCUUUGACCGUAGUUUCUCUUGGGGAAUAUUUUGUUGUCGCUAGGAAUGCUGAUACGGGCCGGUCUCAGCAACGUGAUGCAGUGCAGCCAGCAAGGCAUAUGUUGUCCGGGUUGGGUACUGUGCCGAGGGGUGCGCCGCCUGGGUCGCCUAGGCAGGGUUCGCUGCUGCUGUAGAGUCCAUCGCCAGCCACCCAGGGGGUUGCUGUUUCUCGGCCAGCCACCCCUGGGGCUGCUACCUUUUUGCCAGCCACACCGAGGGCAAUUACAGCGACUCCUCCUCCUGGCCUACUUCCGUCGUUGGAUGCUGCUGCGAGAUCCACCCCUGCUGCUGGUUUCAUGUCAGCCGAGAGAUCAACCCCUGUUGCUGCGGUUCCUAUCGCUACUAUGGCUGCAACCGGGGCAUCAUCUUUGCGGGUGUCAGGGCUGGAGGGUACUGGUCAGGGGCACCAUGGCGAGGUCGUUGCACCGCCGUCUGUUGAGCAGGUCAUAGCAUACGGAGGUAUUCAAAGUCCGCUGACUUCGGACAGGAGGUCCAGUCGGCGAAUUCAGAAUCAACCUGAUGCGGAUUAUUUACAGAUGGGACGUGCUAUGCGUGCGGCUAAAAUGAGAGAUGUCGAAACUGAGACAGGUAUGUCUUUCAGCAUUAACGAUUCUAUUCUUCAUUUUUCUCCUCAAGAUAUUCUAGAUAAGGCAGGUUCUAUUGGGGUUACAUUGGGGAACAAUGGCCGAGAAAUUUCGAAAUCUAUUAAUGAUCUAUUAGACUUAGAGGUCGAUAGAGCGUUAGACUUAGUACGAAAUUUAGCGGCAGUUAAACCAAUGCAAGAGUCUGAAGUUAACGAUCUAGGGGGACUGAAUUCUCUUUGUGAUAGUCUGGCCCCGUCAGUGGAUAUAGAGGAUGGUGCGGGCGAGGUUUUAGUUGGUCAAGGGAUGUGUGCCCAAUCUCAUAAGGCUGAGCCUCAAUUCUCUGGUUAUAUGGACCAGGAGUUGCUGGAAAAGCCGAAGCGUCCAUGGAGACGGAAAGUGUAUCCGGUCUCUGCGAUACGUAGAAGUGCUAGAUUUAAGAUUGCCAAAAAAAAUUAUGAUGAUUAAUGAGAGGAAUUUUUUGGAAUAGCAGAGGUCUUUGAGACUUGGCUAAAAGAAGAUUUCUAGCAGAGGCUACUUUAGAGCAUCACCUUGAUUUUAUCGCAGUGAUGGAGACAGGGAGGGAUAACUUUACGUCUCAUUUUUUAAGUUCUCUAUCAGCUGGGGUGGAUUUUGACUGGCACUGUCUCCCUCCAAGAGGAAGGUCCGGUGGGAUCUUACUUGGGGUCCGUUGUGACACUUUUCAAGUGCGGGAGGUGGUGUUUGGGGAGUUUGCAGUCAAAUUCAAGAUUAGAUCUAAGGAUGACGGGUUCCAAUGGGCUCUCGUUGCCGUCUAUGGCGUAGCACAGCCAGAUCUAAAGCCUGAUUUCCUAGCAGAUCUGGUCAGGAUUUGUGAUGACAAACUACCAUUGCUGGUAGGUGGAGAUUUUAAUAUUAUUAGGCGGGCUGAUGAAAAAAGUAGUGUUAAUUUUGAUGGAAGAUGGCCUUUCAUGUUUAACACAAUUAUUGAGAGCUUAGAUAUGAGGGAGACCGCUCUAUCAGGUAGGAAAUAUACCUGGGUGAAUGCUCUACAGAAUCAGACAUUUGAAAAGUUGGAUCGUGUCUUAACUAGUGUAGAGUGGGAGCAGAAGUUCCCUCUAGUAACUGUUAGAGAACUUCAACGCGCAAUCUCGGAUCAUACUCCUCUGUUGCUGGAUUCCGGUGAGGCUAGCCAUAUAGGAAACAAACAUGGAUUCUCUUUUGAAUCAAGUUGGUUCACAAGGGAGGGGUUCAUGGAUAUGGUCGAGAGGGAAUGGAAUACAGAGGUCAGGGGCGAAACCUCUAUAGAAAGAUGGCAGUAUAAGAUUAGACAUCUUAGACAGUAUUUGAGGGGCUGGUCUAAGAAUGUGUGUGGAAUAUAUAAAGAAGAGCAAGAUAAGCUCCUCAAACUUAUAGACAAUCUAGAUCGGAAGGCUGAGAGUUGUCUUCUGGAUGCUAACGAAAGGGAUCUCAAAUUCGAGGCCGGACAGCGCUUGCGUAUUCUCCUAAGAGAGGAGGAAAUGAAAUGGGCGCUUGAGCCAAAGUGAAGGCCAUAGUUCUUGGAGACAAUAACACUAAAUUUUUCCACUUGAUUGCAAAUGGCAAGCAUAGGAAAAAGAAAAUAGUGCAGCUUGAGCAAGAUGAGGGUACAAUACUAGGUCAUGAGAAUCUAAAAUUGUACAUCUCUAACUACUACAAACAUUUAUUUGGUGCUCCUGAGCAUAGCUUUGUGACUAUGGAUGAGCAAAAAGUGGCGGAUAUUCCUCAAGUUGGAGAGGCUGACAAUGAGAUUUUAUCCGCUCCUUUCUCAGAGAAAGAGGUGUUUGACGCGAUAGGGAAUAUGAAGAAUGGAAAAGCUCCCGGUCCAGAUGGGUUUCCGGCGGAGUUUUACAAGCACUGUUGGCAUAUUAUUAAGAAUGAUCUUAUGUCAAUGUUUGCUGAUCUUUUUAGUGGUCACCUUCAACUCUUCCAUUUGAAUUUUGGUACUAUUACACUCUUACCAAAGAAGGAAGGGGCCACGCGGAUUGAACAGUUUCGUCCGAUCUGUUUGUUGAAUGUUAGCUUCAAGAUUUUCACAAAGGUGGGAACAGAUAGGUUGACUAAGAUGGCCCAUUCGGUGGUACAAUCUACGCAAACAGCUUUUAUGCCAGGACGGAAUAUCCUUGAAGGAGUCGUUGUCUUGCAUGAAACUCUUCAUGAAAUGCACUCGAAGAAACUAGAUGGGGUUAUCUUUAAAGUGGAUUUCGAAAAAGCUUACGAUAAAGUCAAAUGGUCGUUUCUCCAGCAAACCCUACGUAUGAAGGGUUUCGAUGAGCUGUGGCGUAGGCACGUCGAUUGUUUUAUAAAGAAGGGAAGUGUGGGUGUCAAAGUGAAUGAUGAUGUGGGUCAUUUUUUCCAGACACUAAAGGGUCUCCGCCAAGGAGAUCCAAUGUCUCCCAUUUUAUUUAACAUUGUUGCUGAUAUGUUGGCACUGCUGAUUAAGCGGGCCAAUGAGAAGGACCUUGUAAGGGGCUUGAUCCCUCAUCUUGUUGAGGGGGGGAGUCUCCAUUUUACAAUAUGUGGAUGACACGAUUCUUUUUUUGGAGCAUGAUCUCAGUAAAGCCAGGAACCUCAAACUUAUCCUAUGCUUAUUUGAACAGCUAUUAGGGCUGAAGAUAAAUUUUCAUAAAAGUGAAUUGUUUUGCUUUGGAAAGGCCAAGGAUGAGCAGCUCACGUAUAAUCAAUUGUUUGGUUGUGCUAGCGGGAGUUUACCUUUUACUUAUUUAGGGAUCCCAAUUCAUCACAGAAAAUUAUCAAAUAAGGAUUGGAAAUGUAUCGAGGACCGUUUCGAAAAAAGUUGAGCUGUUGGAAGGGCGAGCUCUUAUCGUAUGGAGGAAGGUUGAUACUGGUUAAUUCAGUAUUAACAAGUAUGCCUAUGUUUCUCCUAUCCUUCUUUGAAGUACCUGUUGGGGUACGGAAAAGGUUGGAUUUCAAUCGAUCACGGUUUUUCUGGCAAAGUGAUGAGAUCAAGACUAAAUACAGACUCUCGAGAUGGGACAUCAUGUGUAGACCUAAGGAUCAAGGAGGUUUAGGGAUUGAAAAUUUAGAGAUUAAAAAUAAAUGUCUACUCAAUAAAUGGCUGUCUAGAUUAUCUAUGGAGACAAAGGGGUUGUGGGUACAAAUUCUGACGAAUAAAUACCUACAAAACAAGACUUUGGCGCAGGUUACAUUGAGACCAACUGAUUCACCGUUCUGGAAGGGGGUCAUGCGGUCUAAGAAUGCUUUUUUUCUCAGGUCUAAGUUUGUUAUUGGCAAUGGCCAAUCUACUAGAUUUUGGGAGGAUACUUGGUUGGGGGAGACGCCUUUAGCCAUGCAGUAUCCGCAACUCUACCAUAUUACACAAAGGCGUCAGGCGACUGUUGCGUCAAUUUUGCGCCAGGUUCCUCUAAAUAUUCAGUUAUGUAGAGCCUUAAUAGGUAACACAUGGUCAAGCUGGCUGCAUCUAGUGAGAAGGUUGUUGGAUAUUACCCUUACUGAGAACCCUGAUAGUGUUCGUUGGAAGUUGACCACUGAUGGAGUUUUCUCGGUAAAAUCUAUGUAUUUAGAUCUCAUAGAUUCUGUGUCCAUCCCGAAGUCCUUACAUAUUUGGAAGGUCAAAGUUCCACUUAGAAUUAAGAUCUUCAUGUGGUUUGUUCGCAAGGGGGUUAUUCUAACUAAGGAUAAUUUGGUCAAACGUAAAUGAAAAGGUAAUACUAGAUGCAGUUUUUGUGAGAACGAUGAAACAAUUAAACACCUCUUUCUGGACUGUCCUAUGGCUAAACUUCUAUGGCGAACACUUCUUAUUACUUUCAACAUUAAGCCACCCAAUAGUUUAAACACGUCAUUUGGGACGUGGUUAAGAGGGGUCGAUGAUAUAACUGCUAGCCUGAUCCGAGUAGGAUCAUGUGCACUUCUGUGGGCUACAUGAAACUGUAGAAAUGACUUGGUAUUUAACAAACAUCAACAUAUUCACUUUUUGCAGGUCAUUUUCAGGGUUAUUGCCUUGAUCCGCACAUGAUCAUUACUCACUCCUGUGGAAGCCAGGGAGCCUAUGGUUACUGGGUGUGUCCGAUGGAAGAUGGUAGCUCAGGUUAUCUUCAACCGUUUUGGAUGACGGCAUAUUAAUAGGAUAGGUGUUUAGUCAUCUAGGCUUAUUUCAAUGCCUCCCGGUUGUGGCGACGACGCCGUGUAUCUUUUUGUUAUUUUCUUCAUUUACUUAUCUGAAGACUCUUUGUACUUUUCGAGGAUUUGGUUUUGAAAUAAUAUAUGGCCGUAUGCAUCCUUCGAUGCCGAGGCCGGGGCUUUGCCUCCUUUUCAAAACAAAAAAAUUUAAUUUAUCCUUUCAUUGUUAACCCCUUUUUUGGACUGCAGUUAUUCUAACUCUCUUUUAAGUAAUGUAAUAAGGCAUAUCUUUUUCCUCCAUUUCGAGACAAAGUUCGGACCUAGCACAACUGUAACAUCCGCUCUACAUCGACUCACUCUAGAGAGACUAGUCUUGGCACCUUUUGCAGAACAUGAUUAGUGUCCUGACAUGGAGUAUUUUAGCAUAUAAUGGUCAACUCUCAAGCACAUAUCACUUCAAAUUGCAUUGCUGAAAAAGAACAUACACUUGCACGUUUUUCGAACUUUCACGCAACAAUAAAGUAACUCAAUGAAAUAUUAUGAUACACUCAAAAACAAUAAUAAGCACUCAACAAAAUAUCAACAGUUUUAUUUUGAUGGACGUAGUAGGACUGUAUCUGUUGUCCACUUGGCUACUUUAUCAACAUAUUUAUUUCAACCACCCUGAUCAACAGACAAUAUCUAAGUAUGUUAUGCUAAUUGAGUUAAAAUGGAUAAUCCUUAUUUUAUAAGAUGCAAGGAGUCGAAACAUAUUGUGAUUAGUUGCAUGCUACUAGCCUACUACAACACUAUUGAUCUUAGUUAAGAAGAUUAUCUUGUGAUUAGACGAAGUCUAGAUCAUCUAGCCAAGUAUGAAAAUAUUUAAAGGAGCGUGUGGAUACCUUUUCUUCUUUAAUAAAGGAAAAAAAAUUGUGUAUAUAUGCGAGUCUGAAAACAAAGAAAAGAAAGAUGGACAGCUUAUCACAGCUUCACAUAUGUCAUCUACUCCCUGCGUUCCUAAAUAUAAGUCUUUUAAAAGAUUUUACUAAAAGACUAUAUAUGAAGCAAAAUGAAUGAAUCUACAUUUUAAAUAUAUCUAUAUACAUUCUUUAGAAAGACUUAUAUUUAGGAACGGAGGGAGUAAUAGCUAAUUGAGGGGUUCAAAUAACUUUGUUUCGCAAUAAUGAUUGAAAAUCAACCUUUUGUUGAAAUCCGAAACUCUACGUACGGUAGACCUAUUUUUAUCAAGGGAAUCAACAAAGAUGAUCUGCUACAUAAAAAUGCGCGUAUGGUCACUCACGAGCCACAAGGACGAUGCUUGAGUAGUGAUGAGUGAGGUGCACGAUGAGAUUAAAUAUUCCAACUAGUGUAACCGAAAAGUAUAGUAAGUUAGACAUCGUUCUUGGUCCACGAAAAUAGUGGCGUGAUCGAUGACAUCUUGAUGCCGGCCGGAGACUAGGAUCUGGCUGUUUGAUAGGGUACCAAUUAAUUUAUACCCUCCACUUGGCCAACUUACUUCAUCACCAGUCGAUAACUGUAUACGCAUUGUUCCAUAUUCAUGCAUGCACGUGCUUACAGCCCAAGAGCAUUGGGUUUAGCUGGUGCUGUCUGAUCCGCUUGAACUCGUAGAAAAAGGGCCUUUGGCCUGGACCCUUUAGUCCCAGCCUGUCUUUCGGUCGGAACUAAAAGCCGGCCACGUCAUCCCAAAUUAUCAGUUUAACCCGCUUGGCCACCAUUUAUAUCAUUAAAAAACCUCAAAUUUGUAGCGGGGUGAGUUUACAUGUUACCUUGGAUCGCCAUUGUUUUUUUGGCCCUGCGUGUAACGACGAUGGCCGGAGUAGGCUCGUGCAGAUUAGUCCUCCUCUUGGUAAUUAAGGAGUAUAUAUCCACUAGCUAGUGUCUGACAUUCAGAACCUCCACUCGAUGGCCAGAGUAUUUGAUAUUUAUACUCUCCUCUUGGUAAUUAAGGAGUGCAUAUCCACUAGCUAGUGAUCUAAACGUUUCUAUAUUAAUUUAUGGAGGAAAUAUUUAAUAAGGUUAUUACCCAACAUUACAGGCGCCAUCCGAUAAACCAUAUCACUUUUUUUUGCGAGGACCUAAACCAUAUUCAAAAUGCAGAAUUACUGGCACGUGGUGUAGUUUACGGAUCGAGCCUCCUCCUUCGUGGGCACCAUAGUAGUCAUGCAAGACAUCGUAGUUAUAUAGUGGUCAAGUGUGAGUUAUGAUUGCUUGUAUAUUUUUUAUGCGAUUUAUGAGUCAAUAAAAGUGCUUUUAUUGAGAAAUGUAUCUAUAUUGAUUAUUGUUGAACCUGCCAUUAAUGUAACUAUUUACACAUGUGCGGGGCCAUGCCGUCCAACACGAGGAGCUUCAAAGCGUAUGUGUGGGAGGGGAGUGCGUCGAUGCUGCAAUGACGAACUGCUCUUGGUCGGCGUCCAGCCGGUGUUCCUCACCGGCCAGACCGAGGACCAUAGGGACAUCAUCGUCACCAACCUCCACCGCCCGAGUUCAAGGGCUCCACGGUAACCUACAAGUCUCAUGAGAGGCAGAAGUUGCCGACGACCUGGUAUGUCAUCGUGGGCACCAUUGAUGACCAAGGGAACGACAUCCUGGGGGUAUCCGGUGGGGGGCACACCUUCAAGUUGCCCGACCACAACGGCUAGGCUACAUAGAGAUCGGCCAUGCCUUGAUUGAUUUCUUGAGUAAGCUCUAUGCUUUCAAUUGUAUGCAUGUUUAGUAAACAAUCCCUCCCUAGUUGUUGCUUUGUUCAUUUUCAUUGUCGAGAACUUGAGAUCAAUAGUUAGUAUUUAUAAGACGUGUUACGCUAAAAGUUGCAUGCAACAUAAUCAAUGGUUUGUUGGUUUUAUUGUUUCUCUCUAUUACGAGAUCCAUGGGCUAUAUUGUUGUUUGAUGUAUUGUAAUUCUUAACUUGGAUCUGUAAUAUUGAUCAUGGUGUACUUUUUAACUAAAGAUUGUUGAUGGUGGAAUUAGUAUGAAAGGUACAUAGUGCUGUCACACAUAGGGUGUCACUACUCCCAUUUUGGCCCAACAGAAGGAAGGGUCAUCAUUUACGGGUCACCAGACUGCGUUAGUAUAGAGGCAACAAGGUAUUUUAACCAUGCCGAACAUCAUUAUUGUGAAGAUUAAAAAUGAGGCGGCAACUUGGGUCAAUUUUUGGGGUGGAGGAUUUGAGAAACACUAUGCCCCGUGAGAAACUCCGCUAUAUUAUUUAAGUCUUUCGUUUUUAGCCUCUCUUUUUUCGGCAGCGGUUCUUCCAACUCUCCUAGUAAAUAGAAAGGGGGAAAGAAAAUCUUUUGCCUCCAUUUUGAAAAAGAAAAGGUUGAGACUAACAUCCCUUUCCAUCGACCCACUCUAGAGAGUGUCUCCAACCUUGUUUUCUUGGCCCUUUUGCAUGACAUGAGUAGUGUCCUAACAUGGACUCCUUGAUGUGUAACGCUCAGCUCUCCUGACCAAAUCGCUUAGAAUUACAUCACACGCAAAAGUUAUAUACUUUUGCAUGUUUUUCGCACGUCAAUGCAACAUUAAAAAUUUCAAUGAAACAUUAUGAUACAUUUUGAAACAAAAAAGAACUCAGCAAAACAUACUGUGGAAAUAGAAAAUUUUUGCCAACAACUAAAAAAACGCAGUCAUCAAUUUAGCCGCAACAAAAAUAAGAUGUUAGAAGUCAGAACAUCUUGUGCAUGAUUAUAUGCUAUAGGACUAUUCAUUAGAGAAACUAGUUGGGUAAAACUUUCUCCUUUUUCCGAAUCUCCUUUUUAAUGUGGGGAAAAAGCUAAUGCAUUGUGGUUUAAAGUAAAUAUUACAUCGGCCUGGGAAAUUUAAAAUGAAUCUAGACUGGACGGCUACAAAGAGAACCAUAAAAGUAUUCAAGCACGUCAGAAGAAAAGGAAAGAUAAAAUUCAAAAAAGAAAAGAGAAAAGGAAAGAUGAACAACCUAUCACUUGCCUCAUAUCUUUACCUAAUAAUAAAGAGGCUAUUGCUUCCGUCGAAAAACCCACCGCUGCCGUUUUUUAAAAAGCCCCCUGUCUUUUAGGUAAUUAAACCCGCAGUACCUUUUUAUGUGUUACGAACAUGAAAACGUUUCAUUUUUGCAGGGAGCCUCCCAUGGCAUUGGAUAAGAGAAACGCAUCUGGGCUGACGAAAACGCACGAGAGGGCUAUCGCUUCUGCCCUCAUAAUCCCACAUCGAUACUUCACAGAUAAUUUCAUCACUUUAUAUACAUGCGCCUUGGUGAUUUUACAAGAGGCAACGGAAAUCAAGAGAGGAACAAAUUCGAGAAGAAGAAAUUGAGAUGACGCAAACAGAGGUGGAGCUGCGAGACAGAGGGGGCUCGGGGCGAAGGAAAGGGUCGGGCGCCGGCGAUGCAUACGUGGAGGUGGGGGCGUCGGGGUUAGAGGAUUCAGGCAACCGGCGGGGUAAGUCUUGCCGGAGACUGGCCCCAUAGGCCGACCUCGCAGCAGCACACCAUGGGAGGUGGUCGCGAGGUGCAGAGGUGGGAGGCGGUGGAGGAGCGGAGGAGGAGGCGAGUGCGGGCGCCAUUGGAAGGGGGGAGUCGGGGAGAUUGGGGAUCCUGUGGGGCUCUCUCCCCUAGCGGCGCGAGGUGGAGGAGAGGAGGGGGGCUGGGGAUCGGGCUAGGUUAGGGGAUUUAGGAGUGGGUAAGGCUAUGCCUUGGCACGCCUAAUGGGUUGUGCACUACUACUCAUCUCUCUUUCCUUUAAUUUCUUUAUCUAAAUUCUUUAAUUAAAAAUAUGUGGUAUUAUUUUUUUUCCGUUGCAACGCACGGGUCCUUUUGCUAGUAUCAUCUAACAAAUCGAGGGGUUCGCAUAGAUCUGCUUCGCCACAUAAUAAUAUAAUCAUGACAAAAGGCUACCUUCUGGUGAAAGCAGAAGCUCUGCAAUAAAGCUGCAAUCGUAGACCUAUUUUAUGAAGGGAACCAACAAAUCGAGCUGCACAAUCCAAUUAAAUACUAAUUCCUCCGUUCCUAAAUAUAAGAUUUUUUAAAGAUUAUAUUAUGAACUACAUAAAAAGAAAAAUGAAUGAAUCUAUAUUUUAAAAUAUGUUUAUAUACAUUUGUAUGUAGUUCAUAGUUAAAUCUAUAAAAGGUCUUAUAUUUAAAAACAGAGGGAGUAUAAGUACUGAGUAAGUUUGACAUUUGUUCUUGGUCCAACAAAACAGUCGUGUGACCCAUGACGAAGCGGCGAUGCCGGAGUUGGAUCUCACUGUCUGAUAUUUAUCGAUUUGUGCCCUCCACUUGGCCAGCUUAAUUGAUCACCAGUCUCUUUCAUUGACAAUUAGUGCUGCUCAUACACGUGCGUUGCAUACAGAUGAUAUAUUGGGUUUAGGUACGGCUGUCUGAUCCACUUGGCCACCUUCUCACUAGAAAGCUCAAGUUUGCAGCGACGAGUUUGCAUGUUACUACAUUGGAUCGCCGUUGUUUAGCCCUGCGUGUGUGAUGAGGGGCGGAGACCCGGAGCAGACCCGUGCAGAUUCGUAUUCCCUUGGUUAUGUUUUAUUCUGUAUAUUAGGUUUGUAUAAUGUAAAACCUAAAUUUGCUUCGCCACAUAAUAUAAAAUAAUAUAAUCAUGACAAAGGCUACCUUCUGGUGAAAGCAGAAGCUCUGCAAUCAAGCUGCAAUCGUAGACCUAUUUUAUGGAGGGAACCAACAAAUCGAGCUGCACAAUCAAAUUAAAUACUACUCCCUCCCUUUUUAAAUAUAAAAACUUUUAAAAAUUAUACUAUGAACUAUAUAAGAAACGGAAUGAGUGAAUCAAUACUCUAAAAUACUCCCUCCGUUCUAAAAUAGGUGUCUUAACCUUAAUACAAUUUUGUACUAGAUCUAGUACAAAGUUGAGACAAUUAUUUUAAGACAGAGAGAGUAUGUCUAUAUAUAUUUAUAUGUAGUUUAUGUUGGCUUUGGAUCCGUAGAUUAAUUCACCCAGUAGCUACCACAUACGUGCAAGCUAGCCUCUAAGCUAGCAAGCAGGCACACAAGUGGAUGGAUAUCCAAUUCGUAGAAAUAGAACGACGUACGACGAGCUAGCUAACUGAUUCGAUCGUCUUGACUGCUCGGAAUGUAACUCGUUGAAAAACUGAUCGAUGGAUUGCUAACAGGCUCGUAUCGAGCCUGGUACUUUUUUAUUGCGUUUUGAUCUCUGGUGUUACAAGCAACAUCUCUAGGAUGCCUUUUAUACACAUCCACAAGGAACUAUGAAAAUAGACUAGGACUAGGUAUCCUAAUACUACUAGAACUCGGUUUGAUUUUCUUUCCUAAUCCUAUGUGUACAAGGCAACGUGAUUAACUCACAUUCACCCCCUAAUCACGAUGUCCUUACUUCCGACCUGGGUCCCAAACACGAUUGCUGCUUCUCAUAAAUGUUAUCAUCGACAUGGCCUUUGUCGUCCCUUGCAACAUUUUAUGGACCGUCUUUACUGUCGUCGGCUCGUCCGUAGCUCGAUGACAACACUCCUUUUUGGUCGUGUCUUCAAUCUUCAUCUCUUCUUCGGUGCUUUGUAGACUGUCCUUCGGAUCAUCGAGGGUACAUCUUUUGAACCUGAGCGUGACCAUACUUUGGUCUAACUUUGAAUUUCAAGCUCUUGGCGCUUGCAUCAGCCCGUAACUUUGAACCACAAGGAAGAAGUACUUCUUUCCUCCGUGAGUUGCUGGGGUGAUAGGGCCACAUAGAUCACCAUGGAGCAGCUAGAGUGCAUCACUUGCACGAUAGGUAGACUGAGCAGGGAACGGCCUGCGGUGCUGUUUUCCAACCAAGCACCCGUCACAUACUCGAUCAACAUGGUCGAUAACUGGCAUCCCGGAUACCAUCUCCAUCUUUGACAUCUUCUUCAAGGCGUAGAAGUUAACAUGUCCGAAUCAUCAUCACUCUUGGCGAGCCAACACUCCAGUUGAGAUUGAUCAAGGUUGAGGAUAUAGAGCCUGUUCCGUGUGCGAGUAACACGAGCUAGCACGUUUCGGAGGUUGUCGAAGAUCGUCAUUACUCCGUUAUCGAUACCCACCUUGCAUCCAUUCUCGUCAAGCUUCCCAAUAAAGAUGAUGUUGUUGUGAAGCCGUGGGAUGUAGUACACUCCGGUAAGUAUGCGAUGUUCGCCUGUGAGACCCUCGAAGAGGACAGAUCCUUGCCCACAAAUCUCCACAUUUGAACCAUCACCGAACUUGACUGAGCCUUCAACAUCGUAUUCCAGCUCGAGGAAUUUCUCCUUGCACCCCGUCAUGUGGUUACUGGCACCCGUGUCGAGAUACCACAACACAUUCUGAUCACCAGCUAACUUCGGUGUCACUUUGUUUUCAUGAAGUAGCACCUUCCGGCUUGGUUUCACAACCACCGUUUCAGCGAGAUCACAAACUUCGGCCAUCAGAAGACCUGGACCUUCGUCUUCCUCCUUUGCCAAAUUUGCCUUGAUCUCUCGCUUGUCAUGCUCCGGACAAUCCUUUGCAAAGUGACCCAUCUCGUUGCAGUUAUAGCACUUGACCUCGGACAUAUCCAAGUUCCGUUGCUUCCGCCCUUUAGAUCGGUCAGCCUUACCACGACCUUGUAGCUUGCCUUUUCCUUUGCCUUCUCCGGUUUGUCCGCCGCGCGUUGUGCUGCUUGAGCCUUCGUUGCCAUCACACCUUCCUUUGCUACUUGGGGACUCCCAAUCUGCACGUGAGUACAUGAGUUGGUCACUACCUCCUCCGUUGCCUUCCCGACAACUACGAGAAUUCUCUUCCCACGUCCGCAGGCGUCCGAUCGCCUCCGUUAUGGUCAUGUCGUCGAUGUCGUAAAGCUGCUCGAGCGUGCCAAUGAUGUACGUGAAUUUUUUAGUCACCGAACUGAAAAAUUUCUCCACAAUCUCGGUCUCCUCGAGCUUUGCACCAAGCGCGCGGAUCUCUCCCACCAAAGUAGUAAGACGCAUGGCAUAGUCGUUCACCGAUUCAGUUUUCUCCAUCUGCAACUUGUGAAAUUGGCGCUUCAGCACUUGUGCCCGAGCCUUGGUGACGCGAUCUUCUCCGAUCCUCAUCUCGUUGAGUGCGUUCCACGCCUCUCUUGCCGUCUCGAACUCCACCAAUGUCAUCAGCACGGAAUCCGGCACAGACUGGGCUAUGGCGGCCAUGGCACCUUCGUCGCGCUCCUCGUCGACGUCGUCGUCCGUGAUGGCCUCCCACACUCGAAGAGAUCGGAGAAUAAUCUUCAUCUUCACCGCCCACACGUCAUAGUUGGCAUCGGUGAGCAUCGGGUACUGGAUGGGGAUGUUGCGAUGCGCCUGGACGUUGGCGCUGCUCGUUCCUCCAUCACUCGUUGCUGACUUGUCGUCCUUCUUCACCUUGUCGUCGUUCUUGUUCGCCUUGGCACCGCCUUUGCCGGAUUUGACCGACUCAGCGUCGCUGUCCGUCAUCGUAGAUCGUAGAUCGUCGAGGCUCUGAUACCAAUUGUUGGCUCUGGAUCUGUAGAUCAAUUCACCCAGCAGCUACCACGUACGUGCAAGCUAGCCUCUAAGCUAGCAAGCAGGCACACAGGUGGAUGGAUAUCCAAUAGAACGACGACGAGCUAGCUGACUGAUUCGAUCGUCUUGACUGCUUGGAACGUAACUCGGUGAAAAACUGAUCGAUGGAUUGCUAACAGGCUCGUAUCGAGCCUGGUACUUUUUGUAUUGCGUUUUGAUCUCUGGUGUUAUAAGCAACAUCCCUAGGGUGUCUUUUAUACACAUCCACAAGGGACUAUGAAAAUAGACUAGGACUAGGUAUCCUAAUACUACUAGGACUCGGUUUGACUAUCUUUCUUAAUCCUAUGUGUACAAGGCAACGUGAUUAACUCACAGUUCAUAGUUGAAUCUUUAAAAGGGCUUAUAUUUAAGAACGAAGGGAGUAUAAGUAGUGAGUAAGUUUGGGACACGCCGUUUUGGCUCCCGGACUCAGAUGAGCCCGAGCGUAAACAGUACGCCAGUUUGGGGUGCAAAAAAUGUUCCAAAAAAUCAAAAAAAAUUGUGAUGCAAGAUGCUCCUAUGUGUGAACUCUCUGUAAAAUUUUGUGAAGUUUGGACAUACGAGGAGCUCACUGCAAAAAAGACGAAAUUCAGAUGUGUGAGAAACUUUUGAAAAUCACACUAUUCAUGCCUGAUUUUGUCUUUUUUGCUGCAAACUCUUCAAAUGUCCAAACUUCAUAAAAUUUUACAGAGUUCACACAUCGAAGCAUCUUGCAUCAUAAAAAAAUAUUUUUUUUAAACUUUUUUGUAUUCCAAACCGUUGUACUGUUCACCGGGCUCAUACGAGCCCGGGCUCACAGAUGGAUUACCGGUAAGUUUGACAUUUGUUCUUGGUCCAACAAAACAAUGGUGUGAUCGAUGACCAAGCGGCGAUGCCGGAGUUGGAUCUCGCUGUGUGAUAUUUAUCGAUUUGUGCCCUCCACUUGGCCAGCUUAAUUGAUCGCCAGUCUCCUUCAUUGACAAUUAGUGCUGCUCAUACACAUGCGUUGCAUACAAAUGAUAUAUUGGGUUUAGGUACGGCUGUCUGAUCCACCUGGCCACCUUCUCACUAGAAAAGCUCAAGUUUGCAGCGACGAGUUUGCAUGUUACUACUCCCUGUGUACCGAAAUAUAAGACCUUUAAGAAAAAUUCCGACCAGAUGAAAAUGUGGACAAUUGACCAGGUUACCCCCCACCUCCGGCAGCUCGCUAAUUUCAAAUCAACCCAGAUCCAGUCGCCCCCCACCUCCGGCCAGCUCGCUAAUAACCCAGAUCUCACUACUCUGCUUGUCCGCUCCCUCCUCUGCCCCAGCUUGUCCGCUCCCUCCUCUGCCCCAGCUUGUGCGGCCCCUCCUCUGCCCCUACCUCCUCUGCCCAGCUCGUCUGCUAGCUACCAGCAGCUUCUCCAGUAGCCAGCGGCAGCAGCUCCUCCGGCAGCUAGCAGUAGAUCCAGCAGCUCCUCCACCAGCCAAUAGGAACUCCAGCAGCUCCUCCACCAGCUAGCACGAGCUCCAGCAGCUCCUCCACCAGACACCAGCACCAGCUCAUCCACCAGCCAGCGGCAGCCCCUCUGUCUGCCGGCAGAAGCAGCUCUUCCGCCUCUGCACUCCCAGCUGCCUCAACGAGGUCCUCUCCCAGUGAUGCACCCAUCGCCCAACAGAUCGCCGGAGGUUUUUCUUUUGAUCCAGGGUGCAGAUCGCCACAGGAGGUCCUAGUGGUGUUGGAUCCUGCUUAUCCCGUCUCCUGCAAACCAAAAAAGCAGGACAAUUAGAGGGUAUUUAUCACAACUUAGCAACAGUUGAACAGAAAACAGUUUAACAACAGCAGCAAAAAUUUUAGCGAGAUCAACAACAUCAGUAGCAGCAUCAAGACAUAGCAACAAUAGCAGCAAUAGGGAGACAUAGAAGUAGCGACAUGGAGUGGCAGCAGGAGUUCAUCAAAAUCAAUAGGGAGUAGCAGCAGCAGGAGUUCAUCACAAUCAAAAUCAACAGGGAGUGGCAACAACAUGGAAUUUGACCUCAACUGUACUCCGCCCGAAGAAGAUGAGAUCAGUCAAAAUGAGAUCAACAUGGAGGACUCACAGGGAGGCAAUGAUCAUGUUGAAGAUGAGAUCAACAUGGAGGACUCACAGAGAGGCAAUGAUCCUGGUGAACAUGAUAUGAACAUGGAGCAAAUAAGGGGAGGCAAUGAUCCCCACGAAGAUGAUAACAGUAAGCACAAUAUACUCAUUUAGCAGUAACAGUGUCUCAUUUACCAAGUUUUUGAAAAUGAACAGCAAGUCUAGUUUCUGAAGAUGAACAGUAACUCCACUUUCUAGAAAUAAACAGUAAUAGUAACUCAUUUGAUCAUUUGAACAUGUGACCAUUUAAAUAUUUUAUCAAUUUAUCAUUUGAUAAUUUGAGUAGGACUAAUAUUUUUUCAUUGUUGUGUUUCUUGUUGCAGUUCUUGAGCAAGGAGUUAGAAAGAGGAAAACUCUGAGUGACCAACAAAAAUAUGCUGCUUAUGUGGCAUUGCACAUAUUAUGUAUGAGUAGAGGUGGAAAGUUCAAGAUAACGGAUAAGAAAAACCUUGCACAUUUUUUUAAUGUAGAAUUGAGGAGUAUACAAAGAGUUUGGCAGAAGGCGAUGAAGCAAAUUUCAGAAGGUUUCGAGGUGGAUGUUUCCAACCAGAAAAAAGGAAAUGUGGAAGAAAACCAAAGGACAUCAACCUAGAGAAAAUCCCUACAAUACCACUCAAUAGUAGGUCUACUAUCAGAUCAUUAGCCUGGCAACUGGGAUGUAGCCCUACCACUCUCCACAGGAAUUCAAAAUGAAGUUGAUAAAGAGGCAUACAAACUGUGUCAAGCCAGCUCUAAAGGAAAAGAAUAAGAAGGAUAGAAUGAAAUUUUGCUUGUCAAUGCUUGAUGAGGCAACAACAAAAACUGCAAGGCCUAAGUUCAAGACUAUGCAUAAUGUUGUACAUAUUGAUGAGAAGUGGUUUACGAUGACCAAGAAGAAUAAAACUUAUUAUCUGCUGGAUGGGGAGGAAGAGCCUACAAGGCCUAUACAUGGCAACUGUAUUGGCAAGGUUAUGUUCUUGACGGGCGUAGCUAGGCCACGGUGGGAUAGUGAAGGAAAUGUGACCUUCUCUGGAAAAACCGAUGAACUCACGAUAAACUGCGUGCGCUCUUUGUCCCAGUUUCAGUUCCCUUGUUCUUGCUUUUCUAUAUCCCGAUGAACUCACGAAUCCAUGAUCCAUGGUCAAUCCCCAAUAUAUAUACUCAAGCAAUAUACUCUCUCAGCAGUAUAUAAUCAAUCAUACAGGAAAGAGUAUCACUCUCUCAGCAGAAUACAUACUCACGAAUCCAUGGUCAAUAGCAGCAUAUACUCCGUGUGGGGAUUAGUCUAGCUCGUAAGCCACGGGUCCAAAUCAAGCAAUAUAUCUACACUAGAAUCUGUAGCAGAGUACACAUCUGACAAAACCGAGAGAUGUGGAGAGGAAGGGGGUAAGAGACGGAAGGGUACCUGGGUGAGGUCGCUGAGGUGGAAGCAGCCGGUGGAGCGGUCGAGGUCGCCGCUAGGGUGUCGCCGGUGCACUGGAGCUCUGCCAACUCGUCCCCAACUCGACGCCCAGCUCGACGCCCAGUCCGGCGCCCAGCUCGAUGCCCAGGUCGACGCCGUCAUUGCUCGGGCUCGGCUUCAGCGCCUCCUUCACCCUGUCCUUGCUCGCCCAGCUCGUCGGCUUCUUGGUCUCGACGAGGCUCCCGCUGAAGUACUCCACCCCCGCCGCCGCAUAGACGAGCAACCCAACUGAGGGCGCCCGCAGCUCCCGCUGAAGUGAUCUGCUAUGUCCAGCACCACUCCGUCAUCCAUAUCCAACAUCGGCGCCCACACCAGCUCUGUCGAUGCAAAACAAACACAUUUUUGACCUUUGAGUGGGAAAGGAAGGAGAGGAAGCACGCAGUGGGAAAGGAAGGAGACAACACACGCGGUGGGCUGUGGGAGGAAGAACGCGGUGGGCUGUAGGAGGAAGAACGGUGGGCUACGGUGGCCGGCGACGACGUAGAGAGGCGACGAGGGAGGGGAAUGAGAGGGUGUGAGAUCUGGGCAGCGAGUGGAUGAGAAUGGGCAGGUGGGGGCAUUUUCGGAAACUCGGAAAGUUUCGUAGUGUCGCGAGAUUUACACUAGAAUCGCUAAAACGUCUUAUAUUUCGGUACAGAGGGAGUACAUUGGAGCAGACCUGUGCAGAUUCGUACUCCCUUCGUUUUUAUUUAUUCUGUAUAUCAGGUUUAUAUAAUGUCAAACCUAAAUCCUUUUAACAAAUUUGUAGAAAAAUAUAUCAACAUAAUCCCUUCAUUUCACAAUUUAGCGCUCGUUCGUGUGCUUUUCGAGAUCUAAGUUUGACCAUACCUUUAAACAAGAAGACCGAUUGCUAUGGGAGCAAAAAUUGAAUCACUGAAUUUGUAUUGAAAUUAAAUACUGAAUUUGUAUCGAAAAUAUAAAUUCAUUGGUAUAAUUUCUGUUGCCACCGCAGUCGGUCUCGUUGGUGAAAUUUAUGGUCAAACUUAGACCUCAAAAAACGCGAGCGCACUACAUUGUGGAACGGAGGGAGUAUACACCAUCAAAUCAAUAUCAUUGGAUUCAUCAUUUCAUAUAUUUUCACAUCAUAUAAAUUUAUUAUUGUAAAUGUUCAUAUCGUUUUCUACAAAUUUCAUCAUACUUUAGAUAGUUUGACUUCAGACAAAACUAAUAUGAGGAGUAAAUAAAAUCAGAGGGGUACCACUCCUAGUAAUUAAUGUGUAUAUCCACUAGCUGCUGAUUGACAUUCAAAUUCUCCACUUGACGAUGGCCAGAGUAUCUGAUAUUCAAACUCUCCACUUGGCCACCUUAUUUCUUCUCCCCAAAUGAGCUAUGAACUGCUCAUUCAUCCAACAUUAAAAUCACUGUGAUGAAACUCUACUCUUUCAGUUUCAUAAUUAGUGCAUAUAGUUUUUCCCCAAAAAACUAAACUUUGACAAAGAUUAUAAAUAAAAAGUCUAUAUCUAGCACAUUGAAUACAUACCAAUAGAUUCGUCAAAAAUAUUUGCAUAUAUUAUAUGAUGGUAUUGUGGAUAUACAUAGAGUUAUCUAUAAACUUGGUCAGAUUUUACAAUGUUUGACUUUUCUAUAAAACCAAUAUGCACUACACUAGGGGAUGGAGGGAGUAUCGUAUGAAAUAUUAUGUGGAAUUAUUCCGUUUCAGACAAUGUUUGGUAUCAAACACAACAGGUACAAUGUUCUAUAGUUUCUCCAAUGUGCAGAAUUAUUAGUUGAAUUGGCAAUUAUUUACAGGAGGGGAGUGCGCUGGUGUGACCGAAAACUAAGUGGAUCGAUGUAUAACAAGCUUCUUUUGGUCGGCAUCAAGACGGUGUUCCUCAUUGUCCGAAUCGAGGACCGGAGUGCAGUAAAUUUUACCAAUCUAUGAUGCGCUCUGGGUGGAUGAAACUGCUCCAAAAGUUGCCCGAGUUCAACGACUCUGUGGUGACCUACGAAUCCGGCGAGCGGCAGAAGUUGCAAGACGUCAGGUAUGAUAUCGUAGGCAACAAUAGUGACCAGUGGAGUGACAUCCUCGACACACCCAAGGGCACCCGCACCUUUAAGCUUCCCUACCCGAUGUACUAAAUCGGCUAGGUUGAAUGCUAGCUAAUCGUCCACGAAUAAGCUCCAUGUUGUUCACUAUCCAUGCUUUGUGAUUACCUUUUUUCCGGGCAUGCUUCCUCAAUACUAAUCCACUAUUACUGCUAGUUUUCUAAUUUCUAUUGAGAAAUCUAUUGCUGCUUGGUUAAAUUCCAUAGUUGGGACCUUGAGUCAGUUACUAGUAUUAAUAAGGUAUGCUACAAAGAAAUUGCAUCUUGCAUAAUCAAUGAAUCGAUGCUCCAUUUUUCCUUGAUUAUAUAAUAUAUGUAGUUUCUAUUUUACACUUUGAUUUAUUUAUUUUUUACUUUUAAUAUUUCCUUUUUUUUCAUUUUCUAGUUUUAUGUUUUAUUUUUUUAUUUGAUCUCCCUUAUGUAUUUAUUUUCUUAUUUUAUUCUUUAGAAUGCUUUCUAUUUGUAAAAAAUAAUGAAUUUUUCCAUACCCUAAUAGUUAAAAACAAUUCCGGGAUAUUAAAAUUACGAUGAACAAGGUCCUAAUAUACGUCGAGAUUUUCCCAAAUACCUGAUGAAUAGUUUUUAUAUGUUUAAGUACAUUUAUAAUUUUGUAAUUACACCAUCAAAUUUAAAUAUAUUUUAAAUAUUUGUUGAAUGCACAAAAAGCAUUUACUAAAUAAUUCGGAACAUUUGCUAUUACAUUGUGAACAUUUCUAGAAUACACAUUGAACAGUUUCCAAACCAUGAUGACUUUUCUAAAUAUGCAUUAUAAAAUUUUCAGUUACACGAACUAAACUGUUUUACCCUGAAUUAUUAUUAUUUUUAAAUUUGUUUUUUCUUAGAAUUAUAAAUAAAAUUAAAUUGAAGUGUUUCAGAGUAUAAAGGACAGAACGGGUAAAAACAAUGACAGAAAAAAUAAAAAUUGCAUUGGGUCGGGUCAUUGUGGAAUACUAUGGGCGAGCCCAAAGGAGUGUUCAUUACUGGUGAAUUAUAGUAGCAACGUGAGGGAAAGUGUGCUUCUCAGCCCGAGCUCAAAUGAGCUCUGGUGAACAGUAAAAUCCAAAAAUAAUUAAAAAAAUAUGAAAUUGUUUGGUGAAAGAAAUUGAAAAUAGUCGUAACUGCCUCCAAAAUUGUAUUAUGAAAUAACAUUUAUUGAAGCCAUGGAGAAAACAAAAUCGAUACUCCAAAAUGCUUUUGAAAUUAGUAUUUUCAGAGUAUCGAUUUUGUUUUUUUGCCACAUGUCACACAAAUGUGAUUUUCUGAUGAAAUCUUGCAAGAUAUUAGAACUUUUGCCAAUGUUUAUCACAAAAAAAAAUAGAUUUUUCUGGAUUUUUUUAAUUUAGUUUUGAUUUUACUGUUCAUCAAAGCUCAUUUGAGCUCGGGCUGAGAAACUCCACAUCCCAACGUGAGCGCCUAUUUGGUGUCGUGCUCAUUUCUGGUAGCCGACAAACUGAGUGGUUUUGUGCGUGACGUAAAAGACACAAAACAAUCAGGGCACUUCGAAGGAAUCAACGUUGUGUCCUUUCACAGGGAAUGCGUGAUGCUAGUUGCUGGCCACUCGUGCCAACAAUUUUUGCUAAUAGAAACACAACAACAAUGUGCAGGAAAUUACUGCAGCGGUGAAUUCCAAAUAUUUUCUAAAGUACACAAAUAUUUCAUCAAAUCUGAACGUUUUUUGAAAAAUCACAGUAUUUUUAAGAUGCCCAAUAUUUUUUUUAACUUUUCAGAAUAUUUUAAAUUUCAAACUUUUUUUUUAAAUUGCCAAACAUGUUUUGAAUUUGUGGACAAAACUUUUGAACAGAGAAACAGUUUUACAACAUCUGAAACCUUUUUUGGAACGCAAUAAGUUUUUCCAAAUUUCCAAGCAUUUACAGAAAAUGGAACAUAUAUUGACCAUUUCCAAACAUUUUUCAAAAACAUGAAUACUUUUUGAUUUAUGAACAUCAUUUCAAAACAGGAACAUUUUUUGAUAAUUCUGAACUAUGUUAGAAAAUGCGAACAAUUUUUGGACGUUUGUUGAGAACCCAAUCAUUUUUAGAAGAAAAACAAUUAUUAAAGUUUCAGACAUUUUUUUACUUGUGAAGUAAUGACCAAAGAAAACCAUAAAAUGUAAAACAACCGAAAAUAAGGAAAAAAGGAAAGAAAAAGUUGAAAAAAAUAAAAAUAUGAAUAAUAAAAAAUAAUAAAUUCUGGAAAGCAGUGAAAAAUAAAUCACAAAACGGAGACCAGUUUAUACGUCCUGCUGCUAUAUGACAAAGUAAAAAAUCUAAAAAGAAAAUCCCACAACAAAAGCUAUUUGACAUACCGAGCGUCAUAUAGAAAAUUCAAACAACAACCACCACAGAACGCUGAUACAGAUGACGGGCAGGUGGAUGUUUCUCAGAAUCAGAUUUUGAAGAAUCAUGAGGCGAAAAGAACUGGUGCCUGCAAUCGGCCGUGGCAUGUACACAGGUGCUAGUAAUGAUAUAAAUCACGGAUAUUGAUUUUGAAGGUCGAGCUCCAUGGAGGUCUUUGAAUGCAAAAUUCAAAAUUCAUGAAAAUAUUUUUUUUUUAUAUUUCGAAAAAUUCCGUAACAAAUACAGAGAUAGAUGAAGGCAUAAUACACAAGUGUGUAAAUUUUUAGGACCAAAUACGUUGAAAUAAGGCUGUACAAAAAAGGCAAAUCUGAGGUUGUUUAACACAUGAUACUAUUCAUCCUCUCGGAACAUGAUUUUAUAUUUUUAUACAGGUUGCAUUUCAACGUAUUUCAUCCUUGUUUAGUUUUAUAAUUGUUUUCAAAAAAUCUGAGGAUGAGGCAUAUGUCUCACAUCCUUGUUUAGUUGUAUAAUUGUUGUAAGAUUUUUUUUUUAAUUUUGAACUUUUCAAAAAAUCGGCCUCGGCCAAAACGCCUUUCUCUAUAAAUCGUGAUUUGUAUACUGGUAAGAAGAAUGAAGCAAUGCAUAUUCAACUAAACAAACUACAUAUUGUCUUGAAUUCACUCAUUUGGAAUCUAGCUAGAAAGGGUGCUUUUUAGGUGCCCAGAUUUUUUAAUUUUUUUGAGGGAAGUGACGAGGUUCUUGGGAAGAAAAGAUUUAACAGAUUCAUUGGUUUUCACAAAGAGAGCAAAUCAAUAUGAGCGCAGAAGCAAUCGAGUUUUGCCAUUAUUAAGCAACAACAUGACAUACAUGAUACAACUAGAGGUACAUAUAGCUAAAUUAGCGGAAGCCCUUUGUAUUGGUACUGCUCGCCGAGCUCCGCGAGCAGAUCGUUUUCCGCCUUGAGUAUGUCGCCCAUGUUGUCCAGCAGGAGGUACUUGUCCAGCGAGAAGCCCGACUCCGGCGAGAUGAGCGCCGCGACGUUUCUCAGGAACUCCUCGUCUAAUGGGGCAAGGGGCUCCCACUUUUGUCCCGACGUCAGCAGCGGCUUCUGAGGUCGCCGCCUCACGACCUUCAUUUUCUUCUUCUUCAUCGUCAUCCUCCUCUUCUCCCCUCUUGCGGGCGUCGGCGACUUCGCCCCCGCCUCCGUGUUCUCACACGAUGAACUCGCCAUGAUUCUUCUCCCGUCCUUCUUCCGCUGAGAAGAUUGGUCUGCUCUGCUGGUUUCGCAGACUUGCGUGCUCGCCGGCACCGGUAUAAAUACAGCAAAAAUAAGAGAUCGAUGAUUCAUUUCUUGGCUAGGGGAGCAGUUCGUUGUAUCCGACUCGUAUUCAGUCCACGGUUCCGGUUCCUACUCCCGCAUGGUCGACGCAUCGGUUGGGAUCCUAAUUGGGACGGCCCAAUGGUAGGUUAUUUUAUAGUAUUUUUAUGUAUAUUGUCUAUAAGGACGUUACUGCAUCAAAAAGAAAAGUAUAAUGGCUCUGCAUCUAGUCUAGUUGCUGAAGCGUGUGCGUCGAACAGCUUCCCCAUCGCUUAGUGACAGUUCAUGAAAUCGUGUGCGAUGACCAUUUCUAUGGAUUUUUUUUGCAUGAUAAUAUGUGUCUCAUUUAUAUCAUAAUGAAAAUAAUACAAGACCAUUGUUGUGGAUUAUAACAACACAUAUACACAGCCAAAUACAAACCCUACGGUCUUGGUCACAAUAUAGUGGUACAGGUGUCCAUUAGGACAUAUGUCCGUGUGUUGCAACGGAAAAAAAAUUAAUUUGUAUUUGCAAGCACAACACGUCAUGCUCCGCUACGAAAGAACGCUAGUUACCACAUGACCAAAACGACCAUCGAUGCAUCACUACAUCCAGAGAGUGUCACCACCUGCAGGGAGGCGCACGUCAAAGCCUUCAACAAACGCGGGGACUAUGUUACUCCCUUUGUCAGACAUUAUUAGGCUGGUGGACCACUUAGCCUCAGCCGGACAUUAAUCAUGAAGUGAGCCUUAGCGCAGAUGGUAAAGAUAUCUUCAACGUGACGAUGUGGCGUUGUGGCUCCCUGGCCCAGAUCUUCCCACCAAUGAAUAGUAAAAUCGACAAAAAAUAGAAAAAAUGAUUUUUUUUUUUGGAGUGCAAGAUGUUCCUUUGGGUGAUGUCAAAAACUGCUUGGAGCUGAUUUUUAUUUUUUUUUGCCAGACGCUCCUCGAAUGUCCAAAUACCUCGAAAUUUUGCAGACAUUUUAGCAUCUUAUGAGCCAAAAAGGAUUCAGAUUUUUUUGAUAUUGUGCUUUUCACCGGAUGCAGAUGAGCCGGGGACCAUUUUGAUUAUUAUUAUGGCUAAUCUAGUUUAAAUGUGUCAUUGUUCAUGUAGCCCACAAUCAUUUUUUCUUUUAUUGUUUGAACACACCACGUCCUUCAUUUCUUUUAAAGGUUUCCUUGCAUGUCUGCUCGUCGUGCAGUUCAUUCCUUUUAAUUGUCAUUCCUUUUAAUUGUCCGCUUUUAGCAUCCAUUUUUAACUGUCUUGCUGAUAUUCCAAGCAAACCGCAAGGUAUAUAAACCGGUAGGGAUCUAUCUAAAGAGGCAAGGUGGGUUUAUUUAACAUAAAAUAUUGAUGUCGAGUUAUUUUUAAAAAAACAGCCUCAACUUUAUUAAUUAGAGAUAAUUGUUACAUCGUCUAUUAAAAAAGAUACAAUAUUUUCCAAAGGCUCCUCAAUCCACUCACUCGUAUCAGAACUCUUUGCUAAUCUAGCAAGCUCAUGUGCUACUUCGUUCGCUUCUAGUAAAAAAAAUUCAGAAGCCAUAGAAAAACAAUCCUCAAAGGUUGCAGCCGCCGCUCCCGCAUAGUACCCUCCCUUGUUCAUUGUUUCAAUUACUUCCGAGAAUAUUGAUGUAGAGUUGGUUAGUGCAGUUGCCUUACCCUGGACAUGGAGUAUUGAGUUUAAUCUUCCAUAAAUACAUAUUUUUGUACACGUUGUUCGUGGCCCAUGGCAGACGGCCCAAUAUUGUAGCGAAGCCCAGCAGUGCAGCAACCUGACAUGGUACGAUAGAUGGUGAGGUGUAUGCGUGCUAGCAACGUAAGAAAACGGCCAGGGAGAGGCAAUGUAUGUACAAUAUUUUUAACCAUGGAUUCAAGCUCGUAAAAUUUUGAGACUUUUCCAUAAAACUGUAUGACAGACUAAGAAUACAUAUUUUCUUAAUUAGUAGGUAUAGAUGCGGCAAGUGGAUUGUUUCCUGGUUUUGGGAAGUUUCCAUAAGCUUUUCAGACGGUUUUUCAUUUUUUCUAUUUUGGGGUUUUCCUGUACCAAUCUUGUCUAUUUUUUAUUUUCUACUUAUUUUCAUUUUGCUUUAUUGCAUAUUCUUUUACUUUUUUUCAUUUUCCUUUUUCUAUUUAAUUUUGGCAAAACACGAAUUGUUUCAAUUUUAUGAUACUUUUUUUAAUUGAGGAACUCCUUUUCGAACUCGUUUUUUCAAGUUCAUCAUUAUUAUUUUUUAAAAUUAUCACCUUUUUAAAAAAUAUAUGAACUAUUUUUAAUGUUUGUGAACGCUGUCUCAAAAUUGAUGAACUUUUUUCCUAAAUGCUGAAGUUUAUUUUAAAACUGAUGAACUUAUUUUAAUAUUUGAUGAUCUAAUUUUAAAACCGGAGAAUGUUUUUGCAAAAUAGACGAACUGUUUUUCUAGCAUAUGUACCUUUUGAAAAUUCAUGAACUUUUUUUCAAUUUUUGGGCUUUUUUUAAAAGUUGAUGAGCUUUAUUCAAAAUCGUGAAAUAUUUUCCAUCUAUGUGCAACCUCUUUUUUCAAAAUCAUGAACAUUUUCGAAUUGAUGAACUAUUAACAGAGAUUAUACGCAUGACCUUUUUUGAAUUCGCAAACUUUUUGUUGAAAUAUCUGCAUUCUAUUUGAUUUUCUGAUUAUUAUUUUCAAGCUAGCGAGCGUGCUCGUGGGCUCACCCAUGCUAGCAAUGGUGCGAGCUGGCACUGGCGCAAAACGCGUCAAUUAGGAAGAGCAACUAAUUAAGGAGUACUCGUCCGAGAGCCUCUCGAAGGGUCCAUUGCCACGUGUCGUACUCUUGGUGUUUCCUUUGGAUUUUUUUCUAUACAUAUUUAUGUCUGGAAUUUUGGCUUUAAGAUGAUUUUGUUUUCCGGGUUUUUUUGGCUUUUCCGUUUACCCCCGAUUUUUCUUACAAUUUAGACCCAAAAAUAAGAUUUUAAAGAAAAAUCACAAAAAAAUGCAUUUUCUCUUUCUUUUUUCCUACCCUGAGAGACAUGGAUUUGCUUCUCUUAGAGGCACAUGUGCCUCCUGAAAAAGCAAAAAAAAUGUUUUUUCCUUCCGCGAGGCAAGGUCGUGCCUCUCAGAAAAGAAAAAAGAUCCAUUUUUCCUUUCACGGAAGUACGGAUUUGCUUCCCUGAAAGGCCUAGUCGUGCAUCUUGAAAAAGGAAAAAUGCAUGUUCUCAUGAAGGAAAACAACGUGGUUUUAGUUUGGUUUUUUUGUUUGAUUUUUUCGUGAAAAAAAGUCCAACGAAACAUAUCAACAUGUGGUCUAGUUUUUAAGAUCUCGACGCAUGGAAUCUAACGGCAAAACCAGUUCUAGAUUUGGACGUAGGUUUUGAGAGAUAAAAUGUUUUGAAUAAACAAAUCUGCGAAAAAGGAAAAACCCUUAGGUUGCUACAAGUGACGCACAUGCAGUUGAAGACUUGUCGCACCCUGGGUUGGGGGAGUGAUCUUUGCCAAGAGUAGUUUUCAAUUAGUGAUUUCGCUAAUUAGAAGCUCGCAUCAUCUCCGAUGCGAGCACUAGUGGAUCAGCCCAUGUGCGCUCAUAUGGGUUUUUUGGAGCGGCUUUUGGAAGCUUCUAUGGAGCUGUUUAGACAAAUUUGAAAACCUUUCAUUCAUUUUUUAUGUGUUCACUAUAUAGAUUUACAUGGACUAAAGUAAAAUGUAGAUUUACAUUAUUUUUUCCCUUAGUUUUCUUUGUGUGUUUUUAUUCAUUUUUUGAAUACACAUGGAAUUUUUGGAAAUACAGUUCGAAUAUUUUUUGUUUACAUGUUAUUUCUUUUAUACACGUUGAUGAUUUUUGUAGACACAUUUAAGUGUUUUCCAAAAUAAACAGUAUUGAUUUGUCAAAUGAACAUUGGAUUUCUUAUGAAUAUAAGGUGAACAUUUAUGAAACACCCAUUGAACAUUUAGAAAAAUUCCAUGAACAUUUUUUUCUUAAAGCAUGCAAAACAGUUCUUAAUGUUAGAACAUAUUUUUUAAUGUCAAAGACAUUUUUGUUGAAUGGUACAAAAUAUUAUUUAAAAUUACAAGACCAUUUUUACAUACUAGAAACAGUUGUGGAAAAUGUUAUGACCAUAUUUUUGAAACGGCUGAAUAUUGUUUAAAUUUCAUAAAUAUAUUUAGAAUGGUAUGUCAAAAGUUUAAAAAUAUGUGAAUAUUGUUUCUACAUUGUAUAAAAAAUUUAAAAACUGUCAUGAACAUAUUUCUGAACACAUGAACUAAAUGUCAGGAACAUUUUUCGAAUGGUACAAACAUUUUUAAAAUUGUGGAGACAAUUUAUUACACUACAUGAACAUUUAUUUGAAACACGCAAUGAACAAGGGGUAAGGGACACGUGUCAUGUGCUUUGCUAGCGCAUCGUGGUUGCUGAGUGUCUCAUUCCUUUGUUGUUGAGUUUUGUUUUAGUGCGGAGUGUUUUUACAGUAUACUCGAGAAAGAUCCUACGUUACGAAGGAUGUGUUUGGUAGGCGUUUCUAGCGGGACUGGCUCGUGGACAUUGGCUCAACAAAGUUUGGUUGAGAUAAAACGAUCAUAAAACUAACAUCUGCAUUUAGUUUGGUUGCCGGCAUACAUUCUAAACUGAAUGGGGUGUCAUGAAAGACAUACUAUUUGGUUGUCUGUUUGUGUAUGCGCAAACACAAGGCCUACUAUUUGGCUGCAUGCAACACUUGUUGUGAGAUAACCUCUUCGAUGCGGUGGUGAGGUUACCAUCACAUAGCGGCGUCAGGAAGAACACACAACAUAACAUAGUAGUAAGCAGUUAUAAAUAUUGUGUCACAUUUAAAUAGAUUAGUUUAAAUGCAAAGCAGUUCAAUAUUAAACUAAAGCAACUAGAGCAUAUGAGCGGUUGUCCUAGACGUUCACAACGAAGGCAUCGUCAUGUCUCCCGCACCAGGCCACCACUUUACUGCCAUCGUCAUUGAAGACGAUGACCUUCACCAUGUCGGGAGUCAUCAACUGUGACCAUGAAGCCUAUCUUGAUUUGUUGGACGGCGACGAAGGUGGCCCAAACCUGGUCGAGGGUGACCCUUUCGUUCAACAGACGGACAAUGACCCUCCUAGAGCACUCGGUGUUCGCCUUCAAAUUGAACUCCUGUGGCAUAGACGGGAAGUGCUUCAUGAAGUCGAGUGGCAUAGGUAUGGCCUCGAGUGGCAUGAUUACCUUGCAGAAGUUAUUUGGCUCACCCAUCUCAUGGUAGUGGUCGUAGUUCUGACGCUUGUCGCUGGGGGGCUCCUCCGCGUAUCGUUGUCCGUGACCGGGCUCUGGACAGGCGCCACCUUUGAGGGCGGCACAACAUCCUUGCACUUGUAUUGCUCCUUUGGUGGCACCACCUCAUUGCCCUUGUUCUCCGUGUCGAUUUGCAGUGUGAAGAGGUUCAAACGAUUGGGUCAGGAUUUGCAAUAUGAACAUUGCAUCAUUGUCAUUAACUUAUUGUCGAGAACCCCAUUAUUUACCUAGGCUGAUGGUUACCACUUACCCACCACCUAGUUGUUUGUCUCUCUUCCUCCAACCCAAUGCCAUGAACUCUAAGAACAAGUCUAACCCCAUCCGCAACCCCUUUCCUUGGGGCAUUGGAUGGAGGGCCUUCUUCCUAGGGUGCUCGCUCGAUGACCGCACCAAGUUUGAGAACACCAUGAAAGUGUGUUCAAACUUCAACAGCUUGGAGGAGCAGUACAAAGAGUAGGACGCUAUGGUGAAGAAGGCGAGUCGGAGGAGUUGAAGACGCUGAUCAGUGACCCAAUGAAGGGUUCUAUGUGAGCCGACAUACUUCAUUGAGCCAUGAAUCAAGCCGUCCCCGGCGACGCUGGACAGAGGGAAAACUGAGCCAAGUACAGACAGCAUCGGUGUUCUUAUGACCACGGGGCCGCAACGUACUUCACCACAAAGAUUAUGGUGGUGCCGGUGGAGGAGCAUCAAGAAGUGCUGGCUAUGGAGGUGGAAGAGGAAGAUGCAGUGGCGACGAUUGUGAGGGCGCUGGAGCUAGGACACCUAAGCAUGCCAAUCAAGUUGGACUCCGGCGAGGAAGAAGAUAUGGUGGUGUAGGUCGAGGAGAAGACCAAGGCCAAGGCUACCCACCGCUCCAAUCGCCUCCAGGGUCCUGUGUACUAUGUAAGAUGAACCCUAAUCCCCAUUCCGAUUGUACUCAAUCCUGAUUGGGAACCUCAUAUCUACCCGUAGUCAUGACGAUGUUAUGACCACUCCUAUGGUGUUUACCCCGAUUCCCCAUUCUCCUAACAUGGAUCGAACCUAAACUCGGAUCAAAUGCAAAGUAGUACAUGAGGAGGGGGGAAAGUGCUUACCGCCAUUGCCGAAGUGCUGCUGUGGAUGCCGGUGAAGAGGCCGGAGUCGAUUUGCUGUUCCUCGAUCUGAUGCACGCCAUCGCCGCCGUCGGUGAGAGUAGGGAGAGUGGAAAGAGAGCGGUGAGAAAAGGUAAGGGUAAUGACUGUCGACGCUUCGGGAAACAACGCGGCUUCUCAAGGGUGGCUCCCCUUGUGCAACCCCUGCCGCCCACGUGCAUCGCAGAGGCCUGGCUCGCGAGAAACUACCAAUUCGAACGUGCCUCGCGAGACAUACCCAGACAUGCUUUAAAGUUCGUGACAUGCAGGCCCAACAAUGUAUGUUGACAACCAAUCAGUUUGUUUUCUUUCCACGGGCCUGGUUGGACCUUAUGCGGGCAACCAAACGCAUCCCCAAGUGUUGUUUAUUUGUCGGAAUUUUCUAAGGUACUGGGCAAACGACAUGUGUACUGAGUGCCCAUGAAAUUACACCAGGCAAACUGUAAAAUACUCAGCGUAAUUUUUUUCCUGUAGUUGUACAAUUGGCUGCGCUGCAGUUCCAAAUUUGAUAAAGUUACAAGGUUGGUGUACCAGAAAUUCAUUAUCUACCAAUCAUCAAUAUGUAUGCACAAAACAGUUGCCUGUCUGGGCCUUUGUAUCAACGUCCAUCCAUGUGUAACACGUUCAGCGGAACCGUCUACCAAACGUCUGACAGACACAGACACGUGCAUAUCCUCCAAACCGGGCAGGCUGGUUGCUUGCGCCCUCGUCGCUUUCUUGUCGAACUGGCUCCAUAUAUAGACUAAUGCACACCACAGUUCAAUUUCCAUUUUCGUUUCAGUCAUCGUACAUAUGACUGCAUUAUUCAGCUAACGUUUAAGCAUAGGGAUUUUUAUUUUCAUGUCCCGUCUUUCUUAGUUAUGAUUAGUUUUGCCCCGUUCAUUUAACAUUGCUCACUUUUUUCCCUUCUUUACUCAUCUACGCCUCGUAAAAGAUCAAACGGUGUGUUGACAUUGGGUUAGACCAGGGGCGGUCCUCAGAUUUUGGGGGCCCGGGGCUGGAUUAAAAGCCGGGGCCCUUAAUAUAGACAUAAUAACAAUAACACUGAAUAUACGUACCGGUGAAAUAUAAACACUUAAAUACGUCUAAUACUAAUAUGCAUAUCAAAUGUUUUAAAAAUAUUACCUCAAACAAUAAUUCUGACAUACCUUGAUGCAAAGGCCAUUAUGAUGGCGUCGAUGUUAAUAGCGUCCAAUAAUUUCUUCUCGAUGACAUAAUGUCACCAGACCAUAUAAACACUCUUGGUUCAUCGGUGACCUCACAUAGUUCUUCAAUCAAUAUUUCCAACUUCAGAGAGCUUCUUCCGACCAAUACGAUAGUCACAGGCAUAGUAAAUAGGAUGCAAUAAGCAAUGGAAAUAUCAGGAUAACAGCCAACUUCUAUUGACAUGCUGCAAAUCUCCAUUGCAGAUAUUACAGUCAUAUGGCAGAAUGAAUCCCACAAUUUUUAAUUUAGAAGUAAGAUCAUACUCCCUCCGUUCCUAAAUAUAAGACCUUUUAAAGAUUGCACUAUAAACUAUAUAGGAUGUACAUAGACAUAUUUUAGAAUAUAGAUUCACUCAUUUUGCUCCGUAUGUAGUCUCCUAGUUGAAUCCCUAAAAGGUCUUAUAUUUUAAAACGGAGGGAGUAUAUCUCAACAUCAUGAUACACAAUGCUGACAAAUAACAUUAAUUGUUGAACAAUAUCGAUGUACCGGCGAUGCAUCUACAGAAGCACAAUAAGAAUAUAUGAUAUACGUACCUCGGAUGGCUGAAUCAGCCAUGACGGAAAAUCAAAGCCGGAUUAUAGGACGCCCCGACGAAUUGAAAUCGACGGCGCGCAGCUGAUGAUCUAAAUUAGGAAAGAAAUUAGGUUUGGGAGAAAAGUAGAAAGGAGGGUCGAGCACGCAGUGGCGAACAGACGAUGCGUCGGCGGCCGCUAGGAAUCGCUGCGUCAAUGCGAGAUGGAAUAGGAAGGGAUCAAUCACUCCUAUUUUUUCGUGAAAAAACGGAAGGAACGGUUGCUGCCUUUGUGCCUCGCUGGACUGCUGGGUGCAUGUUUGCCUGCAUGCUACGUGAGGCCCAGUCAACCAACCCGAUAGGUCAUUUUUUUCUGAUCUGUAAAAACAUUAAAUAUGUUUGGACAAAGCCUAUGUACAUACGUGGGGAGGGCCCCCUAAACUUUGGGGGCCGGGGCGGCCGCCCCCCCCUGCCCCUCCCCUCGGCCGGCCCUGCGGUUAGACUACCAACAAUGAAAGUAACAUAGGUGGUAACAUAGAUAUCAUCUAAACAACAAAUGUGAUGUGGCAACUAAUUAAAGAAAAGUAAGAGAAAUUGAAUAACUUAGCAUGUUACUCAUAUUAGGAGUAACAUAGCGGAUACCAAGGCAAGAUGGGUGUAUAGGCUAAUAAAUAAAAGACUCAAUGUUACUACCCCUAUGUUACUAUCCACUAUGGAGGUAGUAACUUAGAUUAGUAACAUAUGUAUGUUACUCCCCAUUGGUCUUUCAGCGGCGUUCAGAGACUCCUUCAUAUUAUUAGACAUAAUUAUGUCUAGAGACACAACACACGAGGCUAUACGUAAAUCACCCUUAGAAUACCAGCGAGCUCUCGUUUAACCUACGGACCCGAUGGGCCAUGUUAAGACUGGUAUGAAUACCAGCAAGCUCGCUGACAAGGAUCCGACGACUCCAUUACCCCUCGCAUCGCUUAGAGAAAAAACCCGAUACAAGUCACCCCCUUGACUUGAUCUGGAAUUAUCUGCGAGAUGCCAUCUAUGCUCUCAUCUAUCAACAAUUUCAACACAUGUUCUGCCGGAGUUUUGGUGCUUGGAAACCAUGAGCAAACCGCUUGUCACUUCUCCCGUGAGAGAGCGUCACCGGCACAGAACACCUCCAAUGGUUUCGUGAUUGCCGAUGGCGGCUGCAGGAUUGGGGGAGGUAGGCUGCUCGGGCUGCGGGGGAUGCGAAUUGAGAGAGAGAGAGAGAGAGAGAGGGAGGGAGAGGGAGAGGAAGAGAGAGAGAGAGAGAUUUCGUCCCCCUUUUUAGGACAAAUGACCCAACCAUCCACUAGCCGGUCCCACAUGUCAGCAUUUCAUGUCAGUCCCAUGCGUCCACGCGUCAACACCGGACGAAGUAACGGUCAACAGUUUUGACCCGACGGUGAGGCAUUGUUUGGCCUUUUGCGAGACGGAGGCGAGUAGAGGAGGGAGAAAAGUGAGUAAUGUUAGACGGACGAGGCAAACUGAGCACAACUAAGUAACGAUGGACGAGGCAACUUACGUAAAACCAGCUACAAUUAUAAUAGCUUUCGAUGUACACCCGUGUGAUCACCAGCCAUCUAACAACCUUUGCCGACAGUUGUCCUUCAUCCACAAAGACAACAUCAUCCAAAUAAUUCACUUGCAAUCCAGGUUUCUCUAUCAUCUCUUUGGACAUUGUGAUAUUUACUAAUUCCCGAUCCAGAGGUCUCAUACGCCAUGGCGAUGUCAUGACCAGUCUAGGAGAAGAAGCACCUCGUAAACUAGAGCGGAACAGAACCUGGGUUUUCUAGGCAUGGCCUCUCGAUAAGAAGUUGAGAAGAUUAUGGCUGAUACAUGGUGAGAUAGGAUGAGGUGUCUACGCUGCCAUACGACAAAACCCUAGUAACAGGGGAUGCUUUAUCUGUGUUAUUUUUUAAUUAAAUCACAUGAAUAAUUGGCCGUGUGUAUGUAAUUCUAUAUUAAUAUAAUAGGACACAAAGAGGCAGGUCCAUAUCAUCUCGGCCAACAAAUCUAAGAUUUGAUGGUUCAUGUUGAGCACCAAGAGACGAAAACCGCUCGCGUCGCCUCCAGGGGGCGACACGGGCGCCCUAGCCGCCGUCGCCCUCGACCUCCCUCCUCCCCCGCUUCCCCGCCGUUGCCGGAGGAGGCCGGCGAGCGAAGCUCGCCCGGCGGACGACGGACGGCGGGCCUUCCUCCCUUCUUCACGAGGGGGUCCUUUGGCUGAGAUGCGACGGCGCCCCUGGGGGUACAACAUGGAGGCGGAGUUGGCGUGCUCGGGCGGCGUGGGAUCCCGGCGGCGCUGCGGGGGCUGGCGGCGGCGGAUCUGGGGUUCCCCACCCCAGAUCGGUUCUCCUCCGGGUGGUCGGGCUCAGGCGCCGUCCAGCGGCCCUAAGCGGUGGUGGACGCGCGCGUUGACUGUCCUCCUUCACAGAUGUGAUUGGAAACGACAGGAGGUGUUGGCGUGCUGCUAGAUCUGAACAAGGUGAUGGCGUCAUCCCCUUCAUCAGGGAUGACGACCAGGUGGUGGGUUCUUGUGGCGUCGCCGGUGGCGGCGGAUCUUGGGAUCCAGUUCCCGGGGACGUCGUGGGAUGUGGUGGCCCGUGCAGGAGAGAUGGGUUCUUCGAACAGAUCUGGGUCAAAGCUUGCUUUCGGCUAUUGCUAAGGUCGGCGAUGGCGGCGCUGUCUACAUCGUUCCCUUCCUGAAGGCAUCGCCGAGGAGAACUUCAGGGCCACUCUCUGCUACCUCCUGGGGUAACCCUAGAUCAGUAGAUCGGAUGACGGCGACGCUCUGGUGUCAUUUCCCCCUUGGGGGCGUCAUUCAUGGUGGUACACACGGGCUCGAGGGACCAUUGGUCGGCAUUUACGAUGGAGCAGCGUUCCUAGUGACACAUCGACGUUGUGGAGUCUCGGCGGCGAGGCGCGGCAAAGUCUCGGCAAUGAAUGCAUGAUGAUGAGCACGCGUAGGGAGGAGGCGUUGUCUGGCGCCGUGGGGGCAUCGAUGGCAGGCCUUGCAAGGUCGAUGCGUCAGUAAUUUUUCUGAAGAUGGAUUGAUGGAAGGCGGCGACGACGACCUAUGAGGGUGCGUCGGACCGUUUGUGCCCCUGACCCGGUAUGUGGCUCUGUCGGGGCCUCCGGCUUUAGAUGUUAGGCUAGGUGAGAGGUCUGGGUAUGUGGCUCACACUUUCUGCACCCCCUUCAUCAUUGUAUAUGAGUAGCGACAGAUGUUGCCAAGAGGACGGCUUCAGACAUACGCUUAACACUCUAGCUAAUUGACCACCAGUAGCACGGGAGAGGUGUUUUGGCUCCCGGGUAUAUGCACUCGGAUGAACAGUACUGCGAAAAAAGUUCUAAUUUUUUUUGUAGAUGAUUGUAUUAGUGUCGCAAAUAUGCAUGACAAUUUUCGUGCGAUAAGGAGCAACGGUGUUUCAUCAGCAAAAAAGACAAAUUUAGGAUGACAUUUUGGGGUAACUUUUGGUGUUCAAUUUGUUUUUCUUGCACAAACCAAAAUGUUUUAUCUUUUUGUCUCAAAAUUUACAAGUAGUAUUUGGAUGUGACAAAGCAUACAAACAAAUUUUGUCUCAUUUUUUUCCAUUUCAAACUUUUUUUUGGCCCCGAAAGCAUAUGCCGGGAGCCGAAUUGCAUUUCCGCCGGUAGCACUAGUUACAUACACACUAGACUCCGCGCAAUCCCAUGAAAUCUGUUUGGCGAUUAACAUACGGCUAAAUAUCAACAUGCAAAUAUUAUCUUACCAAAUGUACCAAAUGUGUAACUAGUAUCUUAAUUCUACUCCCUUCAUAAACUAAUAUAAAAACAUUUAAAAACAAUGCUUUAGUAAUCUAAACGCUUUUAUUUAAUUUACAAAAGGAGUGCUACCUAAUAUCAACAUGCAUUGCACCAACUCCCUUCAAGGUCUAAUGCGUUUUUAGGGUUGCCCUUGACUAUUGAUAAGAUUAAUAAUAUAUGAGAUCUAUGAUAAAGAGUCUUUUCACAUCCGAAUUUGACAAUAUACCUGUAACAUGCAAGUUAUAUAUAUAUAAUUGCUCUAACCCGUGGCCAAAGGAAAUCUUGCAAAAUGUAUCGGAUGAAGGGAGAACAUGAUAAUACCAGUCUAACAAAUAUAUCCUCUCCAAUCGCAAACAUUUAUCCCCUUGGAUCACAACCAUGCAUACCCCUUUUGAGUACUCCCUCCGUCCCAAAAUUAAUGUCGAGCAUGUAGUUCAUUGGGAAUUUUGCAAAAAAAAACCUCGUAUUUACAAAAUCGUCUCAAACAAGCACCUCCACCCCUAUCUUCUUCGUCCGUCCUCGCCCGUGCAUCGCGAGAGGCCGCGCCGUCGAACUGGAAGGGCUCCGCCGCCGUCGCCGCCAAUUACCUCCUCCAUCACCACAACCCAGAUCUGCGCCACCGGAUCUCUUCCCGCUGCAGUUACCUGUCGGCGUCGUUCUCGAGCUCCUGCCGGCGUCGGAACCUUCCGCCACUUCGUCCUCUGGCUCCCAUGCGUCAUCCUCGAGCUCCCGUGCAUCCUCCCCAAGCUCACGCGCAUCCUCGCUGGAAUCUCUACUGCUCCUUCUCCCUUGCAGCCGGUGUGCCUGCUUAUCCCCUGUCACCGGAGGAGCUCCUCUGCACGUACUUGUUGGAAUUAUGCCCUANNNNNNNNNNNNNNNNNNNNNNNNNNNNNNNNNNNNNNNNNNNNNNNNNNNNNNNNNNNNNNNNNNNNNNNNNNNNNNNNNNNNNNNNNNNNNNNNNNNNNNNNNNNNNNNNNNNNNNNNNNNNNNNNNNNNNNNNNNNNNNNNNNNNNNNNNNNNNNNNNNNNNNNNNNNNNNNNNNNNNNNNNNNNNNNNNNNNNNNNNNNNNNNNNNNNNNNNNNNNNNNNNNNNNNNNNNNNNNNNNNNNNNNNNNNNNNNNNNNNNNNNNNNNNNNNNNNNNNNNNNNNNNNNNNNNNNNNNNNNNNNNNNNNNNNNNNNNNNNNNNNNNNNNNNNNNNNNNNNNNNNNNNNNNNNNNNNNNNNNNNNNNNNNNNNNNNNNNNNNNNNNNNNNNNNNNNNNNNNNNNNNNNNNNNNNNNNNNNNNNNNNNNNNNNNNNNNNNNNNNNNNNNNNNNNNNNNNNNNNNNNNNNNNNNNNNNNNNNNNNNNNNNNNNNNNNNNNNNNNNNNNNNNNNNNNNNNNNNNNNNNNNNNNNNNNNNNNNNNNNNNNNNNNNNNNNNNNNNNNNNNNNNNNNNNNNNNNNNNNNNNNNNNNNNNNNNNNNNNNNNNNNNNNNNNNNNNNNNNNNNNNNNNNNNNNNNNNNNNNNNNNNNNNNNNNNNNNNNNNNNNNNNNNNNNNNNNNNNNNNNNNNNNNNNNNNNNNNNNNNNNNNNNNNNNNNNNNNNNNNNNNNNNNNNNNNNNNNNNNNNNNNNNNNNNNNNNNNNNNNNNNNNNNNNNNNNNNNNNNNNNNNNNNNNNNNNNNNNNNNNNNNNNNNNNNNNNNNNNNNNNNNNNNNNNNNNNNNNNNNNNNNNNNNNNNNNNNNNNNNNNNNNNNNNNNNNNNNNNNNNNNNNNNNNNNNNNNNNNNNNNNNNNNNNNNNNNNNNNNNNNNNNNNNNNNNNNNNNNNNNNNNNNNNNNNNNNNNNNNNNNNNNNNNNNNNNNNNNNNNNNNNNNNNNNNNNNNNNNNNNNNNNNNNNNNNNNNNNNNNNNNNNNNNNNNNNNNNNNNNNNNNNNNNNNNNNNNNNNNNNNNNNNNNNNNNNNNNNNNNNNNNNNNNNNNNNNNNNNNNNNNNNNNNNNNNNNNNNNNNNNNNNNNNNNNNNNNNNNNNNNNNNNNNNNNNNNNNNNNNNNNNNNNNNNNNNNNNNNNNNNNNNNNNNNNNNNNNNNNNNNNNNNNNNNNNNNNNNNNNNNNNNNNNNNNNNNNUGUUGGAAUUAUGCCCUAGAGGCAAUAAUAAAUGUGGUUAUUAUUAUAAUUCCUGUAUCAAGAUAAUAGUUUAUUAUCCAUGCUAUAAUUGUAUUGAAUGAAGACUCAUUUACAUGUGUGGAUACAUAGACAAAACACCGUCCCUAGCAUGCCUCUAGUUGGCUAGCCAGUUGGUCAAUGAUAGUCAGUGUCUUCUGAUUAUGAACAAGGUGUUGUUGCUUGAUAACUGGAUCACGUCAUUGGGAGAAUCACGUGAUGGACUAGACCCAAACUAAUAGACGUAGCAUGUUGAUCGUGUCAUUUUGUUGCUACUAUUUUCUGCGUGUCAAGUAUUUAUUCCUAUGACCAUGAGAUCAUAUAACUCACUGACACCGGAGGAAUGCUUUGUGUGUAUCAAACGUCGCAACGUAACUGGGUGACUAUAAAGAUGCUCUACAGGUAUCUCCGAAGGUGUUAGUUGAGUUAGUAUGGAUCAAGACUGGGAUUUGUCACUCCGUGUGACGGAGAGGUAUCUCGGGGCCCACUCGGUAAUACAACAUCACACACAAGCCUUGCAAGCAAUGUAACUUAGUGUAAGUUGCGGGAUCUUGUAUUACGGAACGAGUAAAGAGACUUGCCGGUAAACGAGAUUGAAAUAGGUAUGCGGAUGCUGACGAUCGAAUCUCGGGCAAGUAACAUACCGAAGGACAAAGGGAAUGACAUACGGGAUUAUACGAAUCCUUGGCACUGAGGUUCAAACGAUAAGAUCUUCGUAGAAUAUGUAGGAUCCAAUAUGGGCAUCCAGGUCCCGCUAUUGGAUAUUGACCGAGGAGUCUCUCACGUCAUGUCUACAUAGUUCUCGAACCCGCAGGGUCUGCACACUUAAGGUUCGACGUUGUUUUAUGCAUAUUUGAGUUAUAUGGUUGGUUACCGAAUGUUGUUCGGAGUCUCGGAUGAGAUCACGGACGUCACGAGGGUUUCCGGAAUGGUCCGGAAACGAAGAUUGAUAUAUAGGAUGACCUCAUUUGAUUACCGGAAGGUUUUCGGAGUUACUGGGAAUGUACCGGGAAUGACGAAUGGGUUCCGGGAGUUCACCGGGGGGGGCAACCCACCCCGGGGAAGCCCAUAGGCGUUGGGGGAGGCACACCAGCCCUUAGUGGGCUGGUGGGACAGCCCACAAGUGCUCUAUGCGCCAAGAGAAGAAAAAUCAAGAGGAAAAGGGAAAAAAAAGGAGGAGGUGGGAAAGGAGGAGGACUCCCUCCCACCAAACCUAGUCCAACUCGGUUUGGGGGGGGGAGAGUCCUCCCCCUUGGCUCGGCCGACCCCCUUGAGGGUCCUUGGACCCCAAGGCAAGGCCCCCUCCCUCCCACCUAUAUAUACGGAGGUUUUAGGGCUGAUUUGAGACGACUUUUCCACGGCAGCCCGACCACAUACCUCCACGGUUUUUCCUCUAGAUCGCGUUUCUGCGGAGCUCGGGCGGAGCCCUACUGAGACAAGGUCAUCAUCAACCUCCGGAGCACCGUCACGCUGCCGGAGAACUCUUCUACCUCUCUGUCUCUCUUGCUGGAUCAAGAAGGCCGAGAUCAUCGUCGAGAUGUACGUGUGCUGAACGCGGAGGUGCCGUCCGUUCGGUACUAGAUCGUGGGACUGAUCGCGGGAUUGUUCGCGGGGCGGAUAGAGGGACGUGAGGACGUUCCAAUACAUCAACCGCGUUCUCUAACGCUUCUGUUGUACGGUCUACAAGGGUACGUAGAUCACUCAUCCCCUCUCGUAGAUGGACAUCACCAUGAUAGGUCUUCGUGCGCGUAGGAAAAUUUUUGUUUCCCAUGCGACGUUCCCCAUCAGUACUGCUGCUGGUCAUCUGCCUGAGUUGUUGCUGCUCCUCUGCUGGAGUUGAUGCUCCUCUGCUCGAUCUACUCUGCCGCUGGUGAAGCUCUGCCCGUGGUACUGCUAUUCCUCUGCCCAUUUGCACCUGAAGAAGGUACUGAUGAAACUGUUUGUUGUUUACUGCUACCUAAAACUGCUGUUGUUUGAGAAACUGCAUUGCUUGAGAAACUUGUAAUGUUGUGGUAUCGAAAAUAAUUUUGUGCAAUACUUGUAAUGUUGUGGUAUCAAAAAUAAUUUUGUGGAGUAUCAGAAACAGAGAAGCCUGGUUCAAGGUUUUGCACUGGAAACAGAGCAGUCUGGUUCAAGGUUGUGCACUGGAAACAGAGCAAUCUGGUUCAAGGUUUUGCCUAGAUAAACCAGACCGGAUGAGAGACCAAAUACAUGGGCAAGUAGUCAAAAGAAACACAUAAUUUGCCUAGAAUCUUGUUGUCCUGUGAUGCAAGAAAAUUUCACCAUGUGUAUGUUGUGGAACGCUUACAGUUGCACAAAUCAGACAUAUCAGUAGGUUGGUUCAGGUGUUGGUUCUUGGCCUAUUAACAUAGAAAGCCCCUUUGUAACUACUAGGACAAUCAGCUUGUGUAAAGAUCAUAUUUAGAGACGAAUUGCAAGCAUUAACCUGAUCUUAACAUAUAUAAAUGGAUAUUAAGUUUUCCAUUUUAGGCGAAUACAGAUAGAGGUUUCAACUAGACCUAGUGAGAAAUGGUUCCAUGGUAGCAUUUCUUGUUUGGCUGUCGUAGCUCGAUUACAUAUUGUUUUUACGUGCGUAUAUAUUCUUGUUACAGUACCAUGGUGUACUCAUCUUUUGUCAUUGAUAGCAGGAGUAUGGAUUUGAACAUGAUACCUCAAGAGGAGGAUGAAGGUAUUAAUUUGAAUUGGAUCCCUCAAGAGGAAGAGGCUCAAGGGGGAGAGGAUGGAGGUAUGGAUUUGAACAUGAUGCCUCAAGAGGAAAAGGAUGAUGGUAUUAAUUUGAAUUGGAUCCCUCAAGACGAAGAGGAUCCAGGGGGAGAGGAUGGAGGUAUGGAUUUGAACAUGAUGCCUCAAGAGGAAGAGGAUGAAGGUAUUAAUUUGAAUUGGAUCCCUCAAGAGGAAGAGGCUCAAGAGGAAGAGGAUGAAGUUAUGAAUUGGAUACUUCAAGAAGAAGAAGAAGGUCAAGAAGGUGUACCAGGUAAACAGAAAAGAAAAGAAUUGUCAAAUAAGGAGAGGCAUGCUGUUUACUUUGCUCUGCUAGUAAUCGAGCUCAGAGAUGGAUCUGUUCAACCAAACGACAAGCUGCUAGUAUCAAUCUUGUUGAACAUACAUGUACGAUCUAUUGAGAGAAUCUGGUCGGAGCCAAAAAGCAGAUUGCCGCGGGCCAAGAAGUAGAUGUCUCCAACAAGAAGAAAGGAAGAGUUGGUCGAAAGAGAAAAGAGCUGGAUCUUGCAAGGACCUCAACAAUCCCAUUGAAUAGAAGAAGGACAAUUCGAUCUCUGGCACGGUCUCUCGGUGUGACCCGCUCAACCCUACAUCGGAGGUUCCAGUUAAAUGAGCUCAACCGCAUCACAAACACAGUCAAGACUUACCUCAAACCAGAGAACAAGAUUGCAAGAUUGAAGUUUUGUAUGUCCAUGCUCGAUGACAAUUGGAUCUCAACUUCCCAAGCUAUAUUCAAGCCAAUGACUAAUAUGGUCCAUAUAGAUGAAAAGUGGUUUGACAUGACAAGACUAAAGAACAACUACUAUGUACUUCCAGGAGAGCCUCCACCUGAGCGCACCGUGACAAACAUUAACAUCAUUGGGAAGGUAAUGUUUCUAACGGUUGUGGCCAGAUCUCGAUACAAUUAUGAUGGAGAGCUAACAUUUGACGGGAAGAUUGGUAUUUGGGCAUUCAUCAAAGAGUCUGAGGCAGUGCGAACGAGUCACAAUAGAGCAAGGGGAACGACAGUGCUGAAACCAGUGAAAGUAACGAGACCUGUGUGUAGAGAAUAUCUGAUCAAUAAGGUUAUACCAGCAAUUCAAGAUAAAUGGCCUGACGAUGAUGAGGGAGCAACAAUAUUCAUCCAACAAGAUAAUGCAAAGCCUCGCGUUCUUCCCAACGAUGAAGCUUUUCGAGAAGCUGUGGAAGAAACUGAUCUCGACAUUAAGUUGAUGCAACAACCUCCAAACAGCCCAGAUUUGAACUGUUUGGACCUCUGCUUCCACAAUUCUCUCCAGUCUCUAACCGAUUGUAGGUCACCUACAAACAUCCAGGAACUGAUACAGGGUGUGGAAGAGGAGUUUGAGAAUUAUGAUCCUCACAAGUUGUACAACAGCUUCAUCACAUUGCAAGCAGUUAUGUUUGAAAUUAUGAAAGAUCAAGGAGGAAACCAAUAUAAGUUGCCCCACUUACACAAGGAACGUCUUCAGAAUGACGGCAGAGAAAUAACAAGUGUAUAUUGUGACAGUCAGCUAGUUGCUGAUACUAGGGCCAUUCUAGAAGAAAUGCAAUAGGAAAAGGAAAGGAAGAAAAGAAGUAGUUGUAGAAAGGAAAAAAAGAAUUGAACUUAUCUGAAUUGUACUCCUUGUGUACUCCUUGUACUCCUUGUGUAUGUCUUGUGCAAUAGGAAAAUGCAAUUGGAAUCAUUUGAGAUCAAUGAUGAUACUGGUUAUCCAACAUUUCCAUCUUGUGUAUCGGAAUUCAUUUUAAUUGUUUGGACUAAUUUGUUUGAGUUUAUCUUGAGUUUAUCCAGCAUUUCCAUCUGUAUUGGAGAUCAAUGAUCUUGUGUAUUGGAAGGGUCAUGUACAUGGGGAUGUUGCCUCAAGUUUUAUUAAAUUUAUUGUUUCAGGUUUCAGUAUACAAAGAUUACUGGGGUAUUGUCUAUAGUUUGGAUAAACCAAAUAAAGUUCACAAAUCUUUAUUCCCUUUGUGCAUAAAGUUUACAAAUCCCAAGCAUAGAGUUGGGAUCAACAAAAAAAUUCUAAGCUUACAAAUCGUGAGUGCUUUCAUCUCAAAAAAAUUCUAAGCUUACAAAUCCAGAACUGGUAGCCUUCCUUAUCUCAAUUCUCUGGUACUGAUUUUUGCUCUCUUUUUUUACCUUCCUUCAACAAGUUGUUCCUUGAACUGCAGGUACUCAGGGACAGUCAACUCCUCGUCGUCUGAAUUCUCAAGUACAGUAGUACUAGUAGCUUGGUUCAGGUUGAUUCUCAAUGAUGCCCUGCACUUGACACUAAAGCCUCCAGCCUGCAGAUAUACAAACGAAAUACAGAUACAUGCAUCAGUCUGAACCUGAAGAAGAAGGAAUGCAACCUGUGAAAUGUGUGAAAUGCUCCUACCAACAGACAAUGGAUGGUUUUUUUGUUUUGAUUGGUCUUGCUCUCGGUUUGAAGAUGAAGUGGUGUUAUUUCGCUUACCGUUGAUGUUCAAGUGUAGGCUUUUGCCUGCCCAGCACCUCUUAACCAUGUCAUCUCCUUGCAGUGCGUCUGGUUCAGGCCGAGCUCCGGGAAGCGGCUGCGCAUCAGCGGCAGCAGCGUGUCCGACGUCCCCAGGUACAUGGACUGGAAGUUGGCCUCCUGUUUCUACACGAGCACCCUGAUGAAGAGGUCUUCGGGGAGAGCUGGGGCGACUUGUUGCCAUCUGGUGAGGACGUCCACGGCGCCCUGGUCGACGGACUUCGUGACGCUGAACAUUGUCACUGUCGGGGGACGGGAACGUGCUUCACCUGCCACGAGAGCACGACGCCGAAGCUCUCGCCGACGCCGUUUCCGACGCAGCCGGAGAAGACGGCGGCGGUAGGUGGAGAAAUCAUUGCUUUUUAUGAGGAAGGGGGAAGCUUGGGGAGGCAGGCGAGUCGCAACUGCGGCGGCGGAGCGGCGGGGGACCGGGGGAGCAGGGGAGUUGCGGCAGGCGGAGCUGCAGCGGGCGAGCGGCAGCUGCGGCGGGGGAGUAGGGCAGCUGCGGCGGCGAGGAGCAGGCAAGCUGUAGCGAGCGUAGAUGGGGCAUCUGUCGGAGGAGGAGGACGAGGAGCGCGGGUUUGGUCGGGAGAAGCUGUAGGGGCUUUUCGCAAAAUUACCGUCGCGACAUUAAUUUCGGGACGGAGGGAGUAGCAUCUAAUCCUUCCAAAUAACACAGAACAUACGUGUUGCACGACCCAAAUGGGGCCCGGUCAAUGACAUCAAUCCCAUAUGUCACUCUCUGCUCCUACUACCUCGCUGUCCAUUACUUCAUGGUAAAUCUGGGGACGAGGAGGACAUGGUCGUCUGUCUGGCUCUUCACCUCCCUCGGGAGCAGUGCACUCGACCACGGUUGGACUCUAACCGGUGGAAAUCCAUGGUGUCCGUUCAAAUGUCGUUUGGAUGCGCAGGGAUGAUUGCUCGAGGCGUGCGGGCGCGGCCUCGACGGACACAGUGAUCGCCGUCCAAUUCUAGUAUGAUGAUGCAACCCCUUUGGUGGUGCCUCAUCCCUACGCCCUCGGGCUCGGAGUCGAAGAUCUGCACCGGCAUGAGUUACGGUCCAUCUUCUAACAUGGAGUGGCAUACCCGUCGUGCAAGGCAAAGGCCGCGUGGCGAGACGUAGAUGCUCUAACCACAUCUAGAUGGGAUCACAUCGAUUUAUGAUAUCCCGACUUCCCGAUCAACGAGUCUCCUCUGAUCAAAACCAUGUUACCCUAAUAUGCAUGUAAAAAAGUUAGGCUAAUAUGCGCGUAAAAAAGUUGAUUAACUGCUGCUAAAAUGGUGUGAUGUGAUAAGCCGGCCCUCCCCAACAAGAAAUAAUAACAACUGCCCCCCUAUCUCUCAUAUCCAAUUUAUAUAUGAGCCGGAUAUAGCGAGGACUGGAUGCGUCCGUCAGGUUGUAUCCGGCUCACGCUGGUUCAUCCCGACCCAUAUAUAUCCGUCUCUAUCUCCAACCUGGACGAAACCCUAGCUACUCCACCCCUCUUCUUAGCUCCGUUCCGAUGAUCUCCAGCCAUCUCCGACAUUACAGGCAGCGUCCGACACGGAGUUGGGAUCUCGCCCCAUGCGGGGAUGAGGAGGACAUGGCCGUCCGGCCGGCACUUCGCCGCCCCCGGAAGGAGUGCGCUCGACCACGGUUGGACUCUAUCCGGCAAAAACCCAUGGUGUCCGUUCAAAUCUCGCUUGGAUCCGCAGGGAUGAUGGCUCGAGGCGUCCGGGCGCGGCCUUGCCGGACGCGGUGACCACCAUAAUAUUCUAACUCCGGGAUGGCGAUGCAACCCCUCCGGUUGCGCAUCAUCCCUAACAUGGAGCGGCGUACGCCGUCGUGCGAGGCAUAGGACGCGGGGGCGAGGUGUAGAUGCUCUAACCGCAUCUGGAUGAGAUCACAUCGAUUGAUGAUGUCCGGAUAAACGAGUCUCCUCAGAUCAAAACCGUGUAAUAAUCCUACAAAAUAAAGACAUCGCCCAACGUGUUCCAGAACGCUCUGAAUGAGACCCCGCGAAUGGCAACAACCAUACCAUUUAUGAGCAAGUUUUGUCAGUCCCCCCACCCGGCCAGCCCGUGACAUCGAUGUAGCAGCUUCCGUUCCUAUUUAACCAGCGUACCAUUUGCACUACAUUGCAUCACAGCAAGCACACACACACACACACUCUCUAGAGAAAUGGCGAUGGCUAGGACGACGGCGCUCCUCCUCGUCGCCGCGGCUCUCCUGGCGGCCUCAUCCAGCGCAUGGGAGGUGAACAUCCAGAUGCCGGCGUCGGCGGCCGUGGACGAUGCUGUGGCACCGCUCAUCCACGCGCUGCGGCCGCUCCUGGGCUCCGGCAAGCAAGCCGGCGUGGCGUGCGAUAGCUGGCGGCUGGGCGUGGAGGCGCACAACGUGCGGGACUGGAAGACGGUGCCCGCCAGCUGCGAGGAUUACGUCGGCCACUACAUGGUCGGCGACCACUACCGCCGGGACUCCAAGGUCGUCAUCGACCAGGCCAUCGCCUACGUCGACUCCCUCAAGCUCGCCGGCAACGGCAAGGAGGUCUGGGUCUUCGACGUCGACGAGACCACCCUCUCCAACCUCCCCUACUACGCCAAGCACGGCUUCGGGUACGU